UCAAGAAAAAUUUGCAUUGAGCCGAAGAGUCCAAUGUCAUAAUCAUGCAUCUAUGAAGUGCAAGAGUAGAGAACAACACACGAUCCCCAUUACAGUAUUGUUGCUUGCACUUAUAGGCUCCAUCAAUCAGUACCUUCAAAUCCAUAUAUAAUGAGAUGGAAGAAGGAACUUAAAUUUAUUAUUGUAAUUUUCAACUUUUAAAAUGAUAAAGUAAGUCGCGGCUGGUUCAUUGAAAUUUAAGACAUUCAAAAUGAAGUGCAAGAGCAAAAUAAAAGUUAAGAGCUUUACCUUCAGCAUAACAAGGAGUCUGCUGUAUCAGGCCGACUUUAUCUGCCUCUAUAGACCACCACCUCUUCAUCAUCAGCCUUCCCAAUAACACUUUCUGCUGUUUCUUCAUUUGAUUCUUCGACCACUACAGCUUCACCUUCAACAUCCUCGGUAGGCUCUGAUGGUGUCAUAAUUGUUGUGCUGGUGGUCAGGGGGACAGCUUCAUUAUUUUUCCUAGAUCCAUUUGUCAAACUUCACGACAGCAGAGUGAAUACCAACUUGACAAACUUCACACCAGAAUUCGAAAUUCUCUCUAAGAGGAAGUUUUCUCUUCAUCGUCUCUCCAGUCGGUAUUCCAUUUGUCAUCUUCUGAGUGUUUGCAUUCAAGUCCUUCUUCUUUAGCAGCUCCUUAUUUUUGUUCUCUGAAUCUUCUUCACUCUCCACUUUCUGGUCUAAACCAACAACAGUUUUAAUAGCUUUAACUGAUUCCUCUUCUACUUUAGCUUUCAUUUUUUGCCCAGCACUUUCUGGUCUUAACCCACUUUCUGGUCUACUUGUCUUUCCAGAAUCUUUUGAUGUCGAUGAAGAUGAGGUAGUGCACAUCUUCUGAGCUCCAAUUAGGUCCGCUUCCUCCGCCUUGUGCUUCUCACCUUGAAGAUGCUCAUCUUGACCGCCCUCCACUUUCUGGUCUAAAUCAACGAUAUUUUUAUUCGGUGUAACUGAUUCCUCUUCUAGAGUAGCCUUAAUUUCCUGGCCAGCACUAUCUCUGCUUUCAGUAGAGUUUUUUGAAGUGGAGUUACUGCACAUCUUCUCAUCUCCAAGUAGUCCUUCUUCCUGGCCUUGUGCUUCUUGCCGUGAAGAUGCUCAUCUAGAUCUCUUGUUAGAGUGCAAUUUAUGCACUAAUUUUGCAUUGUUUACUUCUCUUAAUAUCGAUGUUUUGCACUAAAUAAUAAUGAUUUACUUGUGUUUUACUUUUGUAGGUGCAAUUCUAUUGAUUUGUGAUAAAAUUGAGCUAUAAGAUGAUGUUUAAAGAUGAUUGUUCUCUUGGAGAAAUUAUGAGCGGCAGAAGAACUUUGUUGAUAAGGCGUGGGCGCGUGCUGUCAACUACGGACCUGCAGUUUUUAGUUUAACGUGUUUUGUAUUUUUGGUUAUUUUUGUAAUUACGAAUUUAAUAUUUCAAAUAUUAGUAUUUUAUUUUAAAUAGAAUUCUAGAGAAGAAGAGAGAGAGAGUAUUUAAGGGAGGAAUCUAUUGUGAAAAAGGCAGAUUUGGAUUGGAGAAAAAGAAAGAAACCCUAGAUCUUAAUUUUUCUCUUCUCUCUAUGAAGAACUAAACCUAUUUUUUUGGUUGAAGGAUAAUGAAGCUUUGAUUCAUCACUACUGUGAGAUCUUUCUUGUGCUUUAAUUGUUUUAUUGCUUUUUGGGUAUUUAUUUAUUCUCUGAAUUAUUUUCAUGAUUAUGUUUGUUAAUUAGGUAAUUGGCCACUAUUUAAUUAUCAACUUAAUUUAUUGUCAAUUAAAGGAUUCAUCGUAUGAAGAAUUUAAUGUUUGUGACAAAUAACAUAGCAGAGAGUUGUGUUGUGAGAAUAAACAAUCUAAUUUAAAUGAAUCAUCAUAUGUGUUGAUUAGGAUUUGGGUCUCUCUGAUUUUUCAGGCUGUCAAUUGAUUAAAUCCUAUGAUCGUAUCUAGGGUUGUCUAUUGAUUAGGGAAAUAACCAACGGUCGUACCUUGGUUAUCGACUAGUUAAGGAGAGAUUUGCUAUUAGAGGGUCUCAGUAGCUAUAACCGGUCUAUUCAUAAGUAAUAAUAAUCUAUAUUUGAAUCAAUGAUCAGUAGUCGAAUCAAGCUGAGUUAAUUCCUUCAACCAGAGCUUUCUCCAAUUUGAAUCACAACUUUAAUUUACAUUCUCGUUAUUUUAAUUUGAUUUUUAUUAUUGUCAACAAUUCUCCCAUUUUACGUUUUAUGUUUCAAAAGGAUUUAAAUAAUUACCGAUCUCUGUGGACACGACCUUGCUCAAUCACUAUACACAAUUUAUUUAGAGUAGGAAUUUAUUUUUGUUGGCUUCGACACCCAUCAAAUUUUGGCGCCGUUGCCGGGGAUUGGUGUCAUUUAUUUAAUUAUUUUUACGUUUUACUUGGUGUAUGGUUCGUUCUUCUCGUACAGGUACACUUUCGUUUGAUCCUGAAAUUGAGAAGACAGCUCGCCAGCUGAGACAGCAGACAAAGCGAGCUAAGCAACGAUCCUCGUCGCCUUUGCUUUCUGAAACAGAUACGGUGCCUGAUUUAGUUGAAUCAUCUAGCGAUUCAGAAGAACAAGUGAUGGAUAGAGCUGCACCUGUAGAAAGAACUCUUAGAGAGUUAGCUGAACCAGACUUGAAUCAACAACCACUCUGCAUUCAAUAUGUAGACUUGGAGGUAAAUUUUGAAUUAAAGUCUGGUCUUAUUCAUUUAUUACCCAAGUUUCAUGGUUUUGCAGGUGAAGAUCCUCAUAAACAUCUUAAGGAGUUUCAUGUUGUGUGUUCAAGUAUGAGACCACAAGGCGUGACUGAAAAGCAGAUUAAGCUGCGUGCUUUUCCGUUCUCUGUAGAUGGGCUAGCUAAAGACUGGUUGUAUUACUUGCCUCCUGGAUCGAUUACAACGUGGAAUGAUUUGAAGAAGCAGUUCCUCGAGAAGUACUUUCCUGCUUCAAGAGCUGCCAACAUAAAAAAAGACAUUUGUGGGAUUAGACAACUUCCUGGGGAGACUUUGUAUGAGUAUUGGGAGCGAUUCAAACAAUUGUGUGCCAGCUGUCCUCAGCAUCAGAUUUCUGAUCAACUUCUUAUUCAAUAUUUUUACGAAGGACUAUCAUUGAUGGAUAGAAGUAUGAUAGAUGUUGCUAGUGGAGGCGUGUUGGUGAACAAGACUCCUACUCAAGCAAGGGAGUUGAUAUCAAAUAUGGCUGCCAACGCACAACAAUUUGGCAGCAGGCAAGAUCCCACUUCAAGGAAGGUGAAUGAGGUAAAUAUUUCUUCUGUUGAACAACGUUUAGAUAAACUCACUUCUCUUGUGGAAAAGUUUGUUGUAGGUAAUGUGCAACAGGUGAAGACUUGUGGUAUUUGUUACAAUAUGGGUCAUUCAACUGAUAUGUGUCCUACACUUCAAGAAGAACCCGUUGAACAAGCCAAUGCAGUUGGAGGAUUUCCAGGCAUGCCUCAGAGGAGGUAUGAUCCUUAUGCACAAACAUACAAUCCGGGAUGGAAAGAUCAUCCCAACUUCAGCUAUGGAGUUAGGCCGUCAGGAUUCCCACAACAGUAUCCACCAAGACAACCAGCACCUCCACAGUCAACCUCCAAGUCAGGUAUAUCUCUUGAAGAAAUUGUUAAAUCGCUUGCGACUAACACUCAACAAUUUCAGCAGGCAACUACAACAAGCAUUCAGAACUUGGAGAACCAAAUGAGUCAAUUGGCGACUACAGUGAGCCGUCUAGAGUCUCAAGUAUUAGGGAGAUUGCCUUCACAAUCUGAGGUGAAUCCAAAGCAAAACGUUAGUGCUGUCAUCCUUAGAAGUGGGAAGGAGUUGCAAGAGCCUAGUAAGAAAGUGACAGAGCAUGUAGAAGAUGAGCUUGAGAAGAAUGAAUUGAUGCCUCAAUCUCAAGAUGCACAACCCACCAGAGCGAAACCCCUACCUAUUGUGAUACCUCCUCCUUUUCCAAGCCGGUUUGCAAAAUCCAAGAAGGAGGAACAAGAUAAAGACAUCAUUGAGACAUGUCGCAAGGUUGAGGUAAAUAUCCCUUUAUUAGAUGCUAUAAAAUAAAUACCUCGAUAUGCUAAAGUCCUUAAGGAACUAUGCACCUCUAAGAGAAAAUUAAGAGGAGAUGAAAAAGUUCAUAUGGGGGAGAAUGUUUCAGCAGUUCUCCAAAAGAAACUACCUCCUAAGUGCAAGGAUCCAGGUAUGUUUACUAUCCCUUGCAAAAUUGGUAAUGUCAAAGUUGAAAAGGCUAUGUUAGAUCUAGGAGCUUCUAUUAAUGUCAUGCCUCGUUCCAUUUAUUCAUCUUUGAAUGUUGGUCCAUUAAAAGAAACUGACGUGAUAAUUCAACUAGCCGAUAUGUCUAAUGCAUAUCCUGAUGGGGUAUUAGAAGAUGUCCUAGUACAAGUUAAUGAGUUGGUUUUUCCUACUGAUUUUUAUGUACUUGAUAUGGAAGAGGAUAACUUCUCUAAUUCUGUCCCAAUUUUGCUAGGAAGACCUUUUCUUAAGACUGCUAGGACUAAAAUGGAUGUACAUAAAGGGACUCUCACUAUGGAAUUUGAUGGAGAGGUUAUAGAAUUCAAUAUGAAUGAUGCCAUGAAAUAUCCUAGUGAGGAACAUUCGGUAUUUUCUGUGGAUGUUAUUAACCCUAUACCGCAGGAAGUUUUUUUCAAGGAAAAGACGAAGACAUUUCAUGAUAGAAUGAUUUUGAGAAAGGAGUUCUCUGUUGGUCAAAAAGUUCUUCUUUUUCAUUCUAAGCUUAAACUUUUUCCAAGUAAAUUACGUUCUUGCUGGGUUGGACCUUUUAUUGUUACUAAUGUUUUUCCUCAUGGUGCAGUUGAGAUUCGGAGUCCGACCUCUGACAAAGUUUUUGAAGUUAACGGUCAUCGUUUAAAACCUUUUUAUGAAGGUUUUUUGGUGAAUAUUGUGGAGGAAAUGGCUCUCGAGGGUCCUAUUUAUGGAGAUUGAUGCAUAAAUGUGUCUAGCCAAAGACAUAAAACAAAGACGCUUUUUGGGAGGCAACCCAAAUGAUUUGUUUAUUUUGGUUUUUGUUUUAUCGUCUUUUAGUUUUGAUUCAAAUUUAAAAAAAAAAAAAAAUUUUUGUGUUUGCUUAUUUUGGUCAGAAGUAAAAUAGUUUUAAGACGUGCCCACGUGCUUAUUAAAAAAGUACUUCUGAAAUUUUUGGUGUCUCAAAGUGAUUCAUCACUAAAAAAAUAAAAAAAUUAAUAAUUUACUGUUCACAAAAUUCCUAAUUUUCCAGAUCUUGUUUUCUUCUCCAGCCGCUUGCAGCACACCAGCAGCAAACCAGCCUGCCGGAAAACGCACCACCCCGCGCGCGCAGCACCAGCAUCCCGUGUCUCGCAAGUCCAACCAGCGCACAACGCAAGCCCCAGCAGCGCGCAACGUAAGCCCCAGCUGCGCGCGCAGCGCGAACCAGCCCCAGCCCGAGCACGCAACCCAACAAGCGUCACCAGCGCAGCACCAGCAAUCCCCCAGUGCACAGCAACAGCCGCAGUACGCAGAUCCAGCAUCACCAGUUCGCAGCAUCAGUCCCAGCCCGCACGCGCAACACAACCAGCACCAACCCGCGCAGCACAACCAUCCGCGCGCAACUGAACCAACAGCCGUGUACCCGCAAGCUCCAGUCGAGCAGCAAUAGUCCGCAACCAGCCUACGACCUGCAUUCCAGCCGCGUGAAUCGAAAUCCGUGACAAGAUGGAGCAGAAUUUGGCCGCAUACUUCAAGAGUGUGGGAUUUAUCCCACCAUUCCCGCCAAGCCCAUAGACGUUAUGAGGAUCAAAGUUCACAAUUCAGGGAAGUUUUUGCCUUUAAUCUUUUAUCCUUACGCUUUAAUUUUUAUGUGAGCUUUAAUUAUCUUACAUUGGGGACAAUGUAAGUUCUUGGUGUGGGGGAGGGAUUUUUGCAUUAUUGAUGUCUGGAAUUAUUAUUUUCACUCUACUCAUCCUUAAAUGAUUUUGGAGUUAGUAUGCUUCAUAUAUUAUUAUUUUUCUUUUCUUUUCUUUCUCAUCACUCACAUUUUAUCUUUCACUUUUCAUAUUACUACAUACAUCUUUCUCACUUCUUAUCAUUUUUACCUUUUCUUCACUCAUACCUUCUUCUCAUUCUACACCACUAUUGAUGGUUGAUUCAUUUGAAGAGUGUACAUGAUUUGAUGGCAAAUUUACCAACUUUGUGAGGAUUUGAGCCUAUGAGCAACCACUUUGCUCUAAUUAUUUUUAUUAUGUGAAUAUCAAUCUUAGUUUGUUUAUUCUAGAACUUGCUUUGUUAUGCAUGUUGAAGCCACAUUACGGAAUUUUUUGCAUUAAAAUGAUAAGGGUAAACCAUUUACCAUUUUUCUAUUCUCGCAUUUUUUUUUUCUCUACCUGAAGACCUUGAUUUACUAUCUUUGUUUGAGCUUUAACCAUUACCCAUCUAAUUCUCUCCAUCUACUUAACCAUUUUUCUUCUUUUUGAGCCUCAAUUUUAAGGAGAUUUUUGGACUCAUUGUGUUGAUAUAUUUUGUUGCUUUUUCUACCUUGUAUUAAAGUUUCUCAAUUAGAUCAACAAGCAUUAUGCUUGAAUUAAAUUGUGCAAGGUUCGUUUCUUUUGUUUGAUUAAAAAAAAAAACAACAACAAAAAGAAAAAAAAAAAGAAAAAGAAAAAUCGAAAAAAAAGAAAAAAAAAAAGAGAAAAAGAAAAAUCGAAAAAAAAGAAAAAAAGAAAAAUCGAAAAAAAAGAAAAAAAAAGAAAAAAAAAAGUUUACAUUCUUGGUGACUUGAGUAGAAAUAAGCAUUUUGAUAUUAUAAAUUCAUUCAAUGAGUUCAUUCUUCUCAUUUUGAUCUCUUUUUCUCUUUCAUAGACCUUUCUUUUUCAUUUAACCUAUUUAACCCCAUUACAACCCUUUUAAGACCCUUAGAUUUUUGCAUUUUCUUCAUGUUUUGUGGAUUGAGAUGUGAUAUAUGAGCAAGCUUAUGGUAAUAGCAUUCUUUGAUUUGAUUUGAGUGAAUACAUGACACCCUAAACACUUUGAGUGCAUAGAGUGAAGUUAUUGAGACUAUUAAAUUUUGUUGCACUUGAAUUUUGAAUGGAUCUUCUUGGUGGUUGAAUGUUCUUAUUCUAUCUUAUGAAAUUCUUUGCUCUAAAAUCCUUGUCUCUCGAAUGUUGAUCGACUUAAUUUCUUGAUGUAUGCUUGCUUAAAAUUAUUUUUGGAUGAGUUGAGAUGAAAAUUGAGUGGAGAUUUGGGAUUAGUCUUGAGUUAUAUGCUUGAGGACAAGCAUCAUCUUGGUGUGGGGGAUUUUGUUAGAGUGCAAUUUAUGCACUAAUUUUGCAUUGUUUACUUCUUUUAAUAUCGAUGUUUUGCACUUAAUAAUAAUGAUUUACUUGUGUUUUACUUUUGUAGGUGCAAUUCUAUUGAUUUGUGAUAAAAUUGAGCUAUAAGAUGAUGUUUAAAGAUGAUUGUUCUCUUGGAGAAAUUAUGAGCGGCAGAAGAACUUUGUUGAUAAGGCGUGGGCGCGUGCUGUCAACUACGGACCUGCAGUUUUUAGUUUAACGUGUUUUGUAUUUUUGGUUAUUUUUGUAAUUACGAAUUUAAUAUUUCAAAUAUUAGUAUUUUAUUUUAAAUAGAAUUCUAGAGAAGAAGAGAGAGAUAGUAUUUAAGGGAGGAAUCUAUUGUGAAAAAGGCAGAUUUGGAUUGGAGAAAAAGAAAGAAACCCUAGAUCUUAAUUUUUCUCUUCUCUCUAUGAAGAACUAAACCUAUUUUUUUGGUUGAAGGAUAAUGAAGCUUUGAUUCAUCACUACUGUGAGAUCUUUCUUGUGCUUAAUUGUUUUAUUGCUUUUUGGGUAUUUGUUUAUUCUCUGAAUUAUUUUCAUGAUUAUGUUUGUUAAUUAGGUAAUUGGCCACUAUUUAAUUAUAAACUUAAUCUAUUGUCAAUUAAAGGAUUCAUCGUAUGAAGAAUUUAAUGUUUGUGACAAAUAACAUAGCAGAGAGUUGUGUUGUGAGAAUAAACAAUCUAAUUUAAAUGAAUCAUCAUAUGUGUUGAUUAGGAUUUGGGUCUCUCUGGUUUUUCAGGCUGUCAAUUGAUUAAAUCCUAUGAUCGUAUCUAGGGUUGUCUAUUGAUUAGGGAAAUAACUAACGGUUGUACCUUGGUUAUCGACUAGUUAAGGAGAGAUUGGCUAUUAGAGGGUCUCAGUAGCUAUAACCGGUCUAUUCAUAAGUAAUAAUAAUCUAUAUUUGAAUCAAUGAUCAGUAGUUGAAUCAAGCUGAGUUAAUUCCUUCAACCAGAGCUUUUUCCAAUUUGAAUCACAACUUUAAUUUACAUUCUCGUUAUUUUAAUUUGAUUUUUAUUAUUGUCAACAAUUCCCCCAUUUUACGUUUUACGUUUCAAAAGGAUUUAAAUAAUUACCGAUCUCUGUGGACACGACCCUGCUCAAUCACUAUACACAAUUUAUUUAGAGUAGGAAUUUAUUUUUGUUGGCUUCGACACCCAUCAUCUCUCUUGCUAGUGGUACUGACCUGACAGAGGCAACAACUCCAAUCCAUGGGUUUCUUUGAACUCGUCAACAGGAGCUAUCCAGAACCUGCUGGUAGUGUGGCAGCUUCCUGCUUUGAUCCACAAAGAUUGGGAUAGGGCUUAACCUGCUGGGCUUGACAACCCUCCUCUUUCUGGUCUAAACCAACAACAGUUCUAUUAGCUUUAACUUAUUCCUCUGCUGCUUUAUUCUUCAUUUCUUGGCCAGCACUAUCUCUGCUUUCUGUAGAUUUUUUUAUCCACUUCUGAGCUCCAAGUAGUUCUUCGUCCUUGGCCUUCUGCUUCUUACCUUGAGGAUGCUUAUCUACACCAACCUCCCCUUUCUGGUCUAGGCCAAUAACAGUUUUUUAGCUUUAACUGAUUCCUCUUGUACUUUAGUGUUCAUUUCUUGGCCAACACCAUCUCUGCUUUCAGUAUAUUUUUCUGACGUGGAUGAAGUGGAGUUACUGCACAUUUUCUUAUCUCUAAGUAGUCCUGAAACCUUGGCCUUAUGCUUCCUACCUUGAAGAUGCUCAUCUAGACCUCUCUUGGUAGUAGCACUGACCCGACAGAGGGCACAACUCCACUCCUUGGGUUUGUUAGAAUUCGUCGAAGGAAGCUCUCCAAAACCUGCAGGUGGUGCGGUAGCUUUCUGAUUUGAUCGACAAAGAUUGGAAUUGGGCUUAACCUGCAGGGUUUGACCUUCCUCCACUUUCUGGUCUAAACCAACAACAGUUUUAUUACCUUUAAGUGAUUCCUUUUCUACAUUAGACUUCAUUUCUUGGUCAGUACUAUCUCUGCUUUCCGUAUAUUUUUUUGAAGUGGAGUUAAUGCACAUCUUCAAAUCUCUAAGUAGUUUUUCCUUGGCCUUGUGCUUCUUACCUUGGAGAUGCAGGUCUAGAUCUCUCUCGGUAGUAGCAUUGACCUGACAGAGGGCACAACUCUACUCCUUGGGUUUGUUUGAACCCGCUGAAGGAAGCUCUCCAGUACCUGCAAGUGGAGUGGCAGCUUUCUACUUUGAUCCACAGGUAUUGGAAUCAGGCUGAGGCUGGAAAUGAUACAGAAACCAUUAUGCCUUAUAUUAGUUAUCACAUCAAUGGUAAAAAUGAAAAAAAUUCCCAGUGAGCUCCAUCAUUUGCUAUUGUAGUACAGAUGAAAGAAUUUGUUUACAAAAUCGUUAAUACAACCAGAAUCCUUGUUAAUUAACAACAUUUCCAGCACUGAACUAGGAAAAUCUUUCCUUCCAAAAAACAGAAAAAAAAGGAUUAUGUUUGAAUAGGAUUCUGAAAGACUUUCUUAAUAAUCUGGACUAGAAGAGAUGACAUUAACACUUACGAGCAUUAUAAUUCAUAAUUUGAGGAAACACCAUUUCAAUGGAGCCUCCAGCCCAACGCACAUACACAAAGACAAGCAAUAAAAUUUAAAAUAAGAAAUUACCAGGAAAAAGAAACAUCAGAAAUCAAUCUGUACAAGUUCAUAUGACACUUCAUGGUAAACAUAUGUAACCUCUCUUGGAACCUUAGCUUGCGAGAAGCCACAUUUGCUCCGGGUUUUCGUUCAAAAAAGGUUUCAGACACACAUUGAUUCCAGGCUGUGGGGGAUCAUAUGUCCUCACAGCCAAAUUUUAAAGCCACAUACAUUGGCAUUUGCACGCAUAGUCAAGAGUUGCGCAACUCUCUCGUCUACUUGAGUUGACCACGCAAACUGAACUUGCGAACUUUGACCAACAUAAAUAACCAAAUGCUAUGAUGUUUGGAACUAAAUCAAGAUAGUGAGUCCAAAUGUACUCCCCAACAAACUUGUCACCUGGGCAUCAAGACCAAGUCUUUUGGCACUAAGAGUGGACAUGGGAAUCUCUAAGCAACGACCUCCUAAUAACAUACAAAUCCAGGUUACUGAUAAUGCUCAUCGAUUUAAAGGCUUACAAGUUUACAAAGAAGUAAGUAAAGAAUUUGAUAAUAAUUGAAACAGAGUUCGAACGGAUCAAUAAUAAUAAAGAUAAAUUUAAUCUAUAAUAUCAACUAAAAAGUUGUGAUAUAUAUAUUUUUUUCUAAUUUGAUUUUUUGUGCAGCAUCAGUUCUGUGGAAAAUCGGUGCCUUUUGUAUCAAGUAAAGAUGCCCUACAGAAUGCAACUCUUCGUGGAUAUUUCAACUCUGCUCAAGCCUUUGGCUGAUUAUGCGGAGAUUCUCUUACACAUCAAGAAAAAUUUAUCGGCCGAAAUGUCUCCCAUUAUCGUUGUCGGAGCAUCUUAUGGAGGAUCUUUUGAUUGACAUCAUGUCAUCUGUCACCUUAUUUUAAAUAUUUGACUAAAAUCUGGAUUACGCCUCAAUUAUUAUGAUACAAUUUUAUUUUAUAUUCCUACUAACAGAUACUCUUUGAGAGUUACUCGUGUGGGUUUGUUAUUGUUAUCAUCAGUGCUCGCUGCAUGGUUUCGCUUGAAGUAUCCUCAUAUUGCUUUAGGAGCAGUUGCCUCUUCAGCCCCAAUUCUCUACUUUGAUAAUAUCACACCAUCGAACGCAUAUUAUGAUCUUGUCAGCAAGGAUUUUAGGGUAAGAAAAUAAUAUUAAUUAAUUAAAAUUCUAUAUAUGUAUGAUUAUAUUUUCUUGUUAAAAUUUGACUAUUGAAUUUUGAAUACUAAUGAUGCAGGAAGCUAGUGAGAGUUGCUACAAGACCAUCAAACAGUCCUGGGCUGAAAUCGAUGAAGCCGCUGCUGGAAAAAAAUGGACUUACUGUUCUCUCUUAAAAGUUCAAAACCUGCAAGUAAUUGAAUCAUAUUACUUUUAUAACUGCCGAUAUAUAUCCAUCUGAUUUUCCUUUAAUUACAGUGCAAUGUUAUUGUAGUAUCAUUACAUAACUGUCUAUAUAUAUCCAAUUAAUGAUCUGUCAUCCUCAAGGUAUAUUUACAUUUCAGUUAAUGUGUAAUAUACGUACAUAGUAAAAUCUGGCAUUUUAUUUAAUAAGUUGCUUAUAAAAAACAAUCUCAUACUUAUUUUAAGAGUUAUUGUCAAAAUGGAGAAAAUAUGAAUUAAACUUUUAACAAAUUUAUCAAACAUCAUUUUUAUCAAAACUUAUAAAAUAAACUACUUAUAGUAUUUCAACCAUAAUUCCAAAUAGGACAUUAGGCUUUGUGCAGAAUAAAGUUAGGCAUUGAAUAUUUGUACACGUAUAAACUAAAUAUCUAGAUUCUAGACUGAAGAAACAACUUGACUUUCAUUCUUUGUUUUCCACAGCAUAUGUCAAGACGUAAGUUCCAAAUAAUUGCUGACUAGGGGAAGCAGUCUUUAAAGUCAAGGUGAUUAGAUUAGCAUGUUUCGGCAUUACGUAUCGGAGGGGUUCCCUGCCCUCAAUGUAAAAAGAUGCCUUAAAAUUAAAUAUUUAAAUAAUAUGGUUGAUGGUUGUCGAAGCCAACAAAAAUAAAUUCCUACUCUAAAUAAAUUGUGUAUAGUGAUUGAGCAGGGUCGUGUCCACAGAGAUCGGUAAUUAUUUAAAUCCUUUUGAAACGUAAAACGUAAAAUGGGGGAAUUGUUGACAAUAAUAAAAAUCAAAUUAAAAUAACAAGAAUGUAAAUUAAAGUUGCAAUUCAAAUUAGAGAAAGCUCUGGUUGAAGGAAUUAACUCAGCUUGAUUCGACUACUGAUCAUUGAUUCAAAUAUAGAUUAUUAUUACUUAUGAAUAGACCAGUUAUAGCUACUGAGAUCCUCUAAUAGCCAAUCUCUCAUUAACUAGUCGAUAACCAAGGUACGACCGUUGGUUAUUUCCCUAAUCAAUAGACAACCCUAGAUACGAUCGUAGGAUUUAAUCAAUUGACAGCCUGAAAAACCAGAGAGACCCAAAUCCUAAUCAACACAUACGAUGAUUCAUUUAAAUUAGAUUGUUUAUUCUCACAACACAACUCUCUGCUAUGUUAUUUGUCACAAACAUUAAAUUCUUCAUACGAUGAAUCCUUUAAUUGACAAUAGAUUAAGUUGAUAAAUAAAUAGUGGCCAAUUACCUAAUUAACAAACAUAAUCAUGAAAAUAAUUCAGAGAAUAAACAAAUACCCAAAAAGUAAUAAAACAAUUAAAGCAUAAGAAAGAUCUCACAGUAGUGAUGAAUCAAAGCUUCAUUAUCCUUCAACCAGAAAAAUAGGUUUAGUUCUUCAUAGAGAGAAGAGAAAAGUUUAGAUCUAGGGUUUCUUUGUUUUUCUCCAAUCCCCCUUUUUCACAAUAGAUUCCUCUCUUAAAUACUCUCUCUCUCUUCUCCUCUAGAAUUCUAUUUAAAAUAAAAUACUAAUAUCUGAAAUAUUAAAUUCGUAAUUAUAAAAAUAACCAAAAAUACAAAACACGUUAAACUAAAAACUGCAGGUUCGUAGUUGACAGCACGCGCCCACGCCUUAUCAACAAAGUUCUUCUGACGCUCAUAAUUUCUCCAAGAAAACAAUCACCCUUAAAUAUCAUCUUGUAACUCAAUUUUAUCACCAAUCAAUAUAAUUGCACCUACAAAAGUAAAACACAAGUAAAUCAUUAUUAUUAAGUGCAAAACAUCGAUAUUAAGGGAAGUAAACAAUACAAAACUAGUGCAUAAAUUGCACUCUAACAAUGGCAUUCAUUAAAUUUAAAAAUAUGAAAAAUAUAUAAAAUACAUAAAUAAUAUAUAAAAAAAAAACUUUUUUUAAAGUGCGCAGAGGUUUGAACGGCAACUAUAGGAUCGUAUCACAUUGAAUUCGUGUACUUAGGACGGGGCACGGAAGAGAGAGCAUUUUGGUUUAUAUUUUACUCAUAUACACGAGUAAUUAUGUACAAACCUUUCAUGCCUUUGCUAUCUUUUUCAUGUGGGACAAAUAUAUUUUCCUUUACUUUUCUAAUUCCAUGAAUUUACUUUGAGUAACAAUUUCUCAUUUAUCUAAGGGUUAUUUUGAUUAUAUAAAUAAAAUCAUUCUGAAGUAUUUAUGGAGGAACAUCUGAAACAACAGAUAAGUCUCACUCCAAAUCACGCAUCAAAUAGUAACUUGUGCUAUAUUUCCAACACUUUUUGCUUCUUUUCCUUGUUUGAUUGCAUGAAAAAAAUUGAGUGCAAUGAAACUUUUAUCUUCUUUUGUCUUUGAUGUUUUGGUGUAAAAAAAAUAAAAUUAAGUGGGAUAUUAGGUAGCCCAUGAAUUUCCAUAUAGUUUGCAUGUUGCAAAAGGAGUUUUGUAACUAUUUUAAAAAAUAAAGAGAUUAUUUUUAUUAUUUUGUCAAAUCACAGAAGUCUACACAUUCUUUUCUCCACCAGCUUAUUUAUAAUAAUACACCUACAAGUUUUUUUUAUACUUAAAUUUAUACAAAGAUAUGAUUAGUCUUGUUUAUUUUUCUAUUUGAGUCAUAUUUUACAACAACAAUCCUUCGAGCUUUUUUUUUCUUUAUUAUUUUGGGUAAUAUUUAAUAUCUUAAUAGCGCUAUUAAUUAUUUCUAAUAUUGUCCAUAUUAUCUCAUGUUUCUGCAAAGUUGUUCAAAUAGAUCUACACCUCACAAAUACAGGCCGAUAAGGUUAUAUCUCCAUGAUUGAAUCCAUCCAGAGAAAGACAUUGACUCACACUAUUUGAAAACGCGUAUUGGAAGUUAACACUGGGAGGUUGCAAAACAAUUAAUUCUUAUAUAAAUGCUUUGCUGAGAAUCAAACAGCUCAAUCAACCGAAAACCAUUAUAAACAUGGCAGCAGCAUCCACUGUUUCGAGAUUGGUGGUCAUUUUAAUUUUAAUAAAUGUUGGUGCUAUAAGUGAUACGACAAUAUCUGUAACGGCAUCAGCUGCAGGAUUAUUGUCGUCACCCAUACUGUUAGAAAGGGAAGCUUUACUUGCUACCGGCUGGUGGGUCAACAAUUGGGCGACGUCGGGCAACUAAACGUCCGAUCAUUGUAAGUGGACUGGCGUCAGUUGCAAUUCAGCGGGAAGCGUAAUCGGGGUCAGCUUACUCUGGUAUGAAAAUGAUAACAUCAACGGAGAGCUCGGUCGUUUCAAAUUCUCUUGCUUUCCCAAUCUCAGAAGUUUCAAAAUUCGUUCAAAUUAUCUUCUCUCUGGGAGCAUUCCAUCUGAAAUUACUGCUCUUUCAACAAUCCGAACUCUUGAACUGACCUCCAACGGCCUUACCGGUAAGCUGUGAAACUUCACCAUAUAUAUAUAUAUGUAUGUAUAAAAUCGCGCUGCUGCUUAAAGCUGGCGUCUGUUUUUACAACACUGAAGAAGUGUGAGUCGUCCGCACUUGAGCUUGACUCUCCCUCUAUGUAAUUUUUUUUAAAGAAGAUAGUGAAUACUGAUCUCGUUUUUCAUAAAUCACAUGCACAACAGGAAUUAUCCCUUUAGAGAUGGGGCGAUUAAGGAAUCUCGUCCACCUGGAUCUAUCUGAUAAUCACCUCAUGGGACAUAUCCCUCCAACUCUCGGUCGUCUAAGCAAAUUGAAAAUUUUGAACUUGUCUUUUAACUCCCUUGUCGGUAAUAUCCCAUCCAAUGUAGGUCAUCUAACCCAGCUAACUACUUUGGCUAUUGCCUCAAACCGAAUGAAUGGUUCCAUCCCAUUAGGAAUCGGGAAUUUGAAGGUUCUUCAAGUUCUUGACCUGUCCAGAAAUGAAAUUGGAGGUUCAAUUCCUUCAACACUUGGCCAUUUAAAGUGGUUGAGAAGUGUAGACUUGUCCCAAAACAAAUUUGUUGGCCCAAUCCCUUCGUCUCUGGGUCAUUUGACACAGCUAAUUACUUUGAAUAUGUACAACAACAAACUUGAUGGCCCAAUUCCUCCAGAACUCAUGAAUUGCUCAAAGCUGAGGAUAUUAAAAUUGGGAAAUAUUAUCUUGAUCUAAGCGGUAACUUCAUUAAUGGUAAAAUACCUUCCCAACUUGGAGAAUUUCCACGCAUAGACACCGUGGACCUUUCCAUGAAUAACCUUUCCGGUGGAAUCCCUGUAUUUGUCAGAAAAGUGCCACACUUAGAUGUGUCAGGCAAUAAAUUCGGAGGAGAAAUCCCAACUACUUUGGCAAAUGCGCCACCGCCACAUCACAAAACGAUUGCCACUCGCUUGGUUGCAAUUAUUCUUGCUAUGGUCGCAUUCCUUGCCUUGAUAUUUGGAAUCUUGAUUAUCCAUAGACGAAGGGAUAAGGAAGUUGAACCAACUGGGACAGGAGAAAUUACCAAGUGCGCUGAUGAGUUUGUAAUUUGGAAUUACGAUGGUAGAAUUACAUUUCAAGACAUGAUUGAAGCCACUGAGGAUUUCGAUAUCAAAUACUGCAUUGGAACCGGAGGCUACAGCAGCGUUUACAGAGCACGGCUGCCCAGUGGAAAAGUGGUUGCUUUGAAGAAGCUUCACCGUUCAAAAACUGAGGAGUUAGCUUCCCUCGAGAGUUUCCGGAAUGAGGCUCGUCUACUGUCCCAAAUACGGCAUCGAAAUAUCGUAAAGCUUUACGGCUUUUGUUUGCACAAGACAUGCAUGUUCUUAAUCUAUGAGUACAUGGAAAUGGGAAGCUUGUUCUGUGUUCUACGCACAGAUGAGGAAGCUGUUGGGUUGGAUUGGACUAAAAGGGUGAACAUUGUGAAGGGUAUGGCUCAUGCUUUGUCAUACUUGCAUCAUCACUGCACACCACCAAUUGUUCACCGGGACAUAUCAAGCAACAACAUUCUACUCAACUCAGAAUUAGAAGCAUUUGUUGCGGACUUUGGCAUUGCUAGAUUGUUAAAUUUUGACUCAUCCAACCGAACUCUUUUAGCUGGCACUUUUGGAUAUAUUGCUCCAGGUCAUCCUCUAGCUAUUCCUCUUAUGCAUCUUUAAUUAUCCUCUUAAUUAAUUUUAUAUAUACUCUGCCAAAUAGUUUUUAAGCAGCUUUAUUUAGGUCACUACUUGGUUCGAAUUUUGAAAAUGCUAAGGGGCUAAAAAUAAAUUUAAACUUUGCCUACCCCUUUUCCUUUUAAAACACACACACUGAACAUAAGUUAAAACAUAAGUUUCUUUGUCAUAACUUGCUGCGGAAGCUAAAAAACAUGAACAAAUUGUUCUUGUUAUUAUUUAUGGAAACGUUACUAAUGAAGGCCUUUGUUUUCCUAUAGAACUUGCCUACACCGUGGUUGUGACAGAGAAAUGUGAUGUUUAUAGCUUUGGAGUGGUGGCACUAGAAGUACUAGUGGGAAGGCAUCCAGAAGCGCUCCUCUCAUCGUCAUCUUCAUCAUUGGAUAAAAAUAUAAAGCUGAUUGAUUUGUUGGACCCACGCCUCCCGGCUCCGGGGGAUCAAAUGAUUACGCAGGAUAUCAUUCUUGUUUCAAUAGUAGCAUUUUCAUGCUUACGUUCUCAACCAAAGUCUCGACCUACAAUGCAACUCGUGUCCAACGAAUUUAUCGCUCGCAAUAUGACACCAAUGCAGAAACCUUUUCAUGAAAUUUCAAUUUUGGAGCUUAGAAACCAAGAAAUGUAUUUGGUUGAAUAAUGUGAUUUUUCCAAUAAAGGAGACUGUUAAUUGGUUGUGAAAUUAUUAGGUAGUAGCAAUGUAGCAAAUAUUAUGUGUUCGACGAAUUGUCUGCCUUAGUAUUUUUUAAUUCCAUUCACACUACGACAUUAAUCUCUUUUGUAAAGCUUGUACUUUCGCAGUUCACUCUGAUAAAAUAAGGUUUGUCUAAUUGUCUCCAUCUCAAUGAUCUGAAUUAACCAGCAUAUUAAGGAAUUUAAGGUUGUGUCUCUACAAGUUAGAAAGGGUAAAUUGUCAUUCUAAUUAUUAGUUUAUUUUACAAAUUAUAUAUAAAAAUUUCAUUCAGAACGAAGUUCGUGAUGUCGCGUUAUUUAAUAUAUUAGUUUUUUCAGUCCUUUGUAAAUAUUCACACAAACAUAUACAAUAAAUUUUUAAUUUAGCCGAUCCGAUCAAACAUCCUGGACCCACCGCUGAUGUCAUUCGAAGGUGAGGAAGCUUCUGCAGAAGUUGUGGUUAGUGAUAUCCUUGCCAGCACAAGAUAAUUAAUUACUGGGAAAGAAAUAAUAAAAAUUUUUAUUAAUUACGAAACUGAUAACUAUAUAUUAGACACACUAUAAUUUUAUGAAAACUGAAGAUCCAUACUAAUAUAAAACUAAAACCAACAUUAAUUAAAUUAUACGAUAACAACAAAUCCAGGAUAUAUUAACAAACACGUCGAUUUUGAAGCUGAAUUUAUAAUCUAAUCUUAACUCUAUUUCUUCUGUAUUUACAUAAUCAUCCUGCUAAUUAAGGAUUUACAACUUUGCCAUGAAAGGUCGGUGGCUUCCAUGCCUUUUUCUUCUUCUCGUCACAAAUUUUGCUUUUGCUUCCACUUCACCAUUAAAGAACAUCCCAAAGCUUGGUGCUGUUCGUGGAAGGACUAUUUUUUAAAACCCUAGCAAAAAAAUCCACAAAGUUACUAUUAUGAUCUCGAAACUUACUAUUAUUAUCAAACACUUGAUCACUUUAACUAUAAUCCACAAAGUUAUUUAACUUUUCCUCAUAGAUAUGCGUUGAACUUCAAGCAUUGGGGCGGUGGCAGAGCCAUGGCGGCGCCGAUAUUGGCAUAUCUUGGUGAAGAGAGUAGUCUUGAUAUGAUGACCUUGGUGACAUUGGAUGGCUUACUAAUAAUGCUCAUCGAUUUAAAGCCUUACAAGUUUACAUAGAGGUAAGUAAAGAAUAUGUUAUCAGGCUAGCUUGAUAAUAAUUGAAAUAGAGUUCACAUACGAAAUAAUAAUAAUAAAGACAAAUCUUAAUCAGAAUAUUCUACAAUAUGAACUGAAAAGUUGUGAUGGAUUUUUUUUUAAUUCAAUUUUUUAUGCAGUAUCGGUUCUAUGGAAAAUCAGUACCUUUUGUAUCAAGCAAAGAUGCCCUAAAGAAUGCAAUUCUUCGUGGAUAUUUCAACUCUGCUCAAGCUUUGGCUGAUUAUGCAGAGAUUCUCUUACACAUCCAGAAAAAUUUAUCGGACGAAAUGUCUCCCAUUAUGGUCGUUGGAGCAUCUUAUGGAGGAAGUAAAUUAUAAUAUUAUUAACUUACUUACAUCUUUUGAUUAAUGUCGUGUCAUCUGUCACAUCAUUUUACUCAUUUAGAUCACGAUUGAUCGAUCAAGAUAUUGACUACGGCAAUAUUACUAUGAUACAAAUUUAUUUAAUAUUGCAACUAACGAUACUCUUGGCGAUCGUAAAAUCAAGAAAUAAUAAAUAUGUUCAAGAUAAUUAUGUAUUUAAAAAUAAUCUUCUCAAUUCAUCCUAUUUUAUCAGAUCUGGGAUGUGAUAUGGUUUCGAGAGUUACUCGUUUGUUGGUUUGUUAUCAACAAUGCUUGCUGCAUGGUUUCGCUUGAAGUAUCUUCACAUUGCUUUGGGAGCAGUUGCCUCAUCCGCCCCAAUUCUCUACUUUGAUAAUAUCACACCGUCAAACGCAUAUUAUGAUCUUGUCACCAAGGACUUUCGGGUAAGAAAUAAAUUAGUUAAUUAAAAUUUUAUAUAAGCAUGAUUAUGUUUUCUUGUUAAAAUUUAGCCAUUGAAUUUUGAAAAUUAAUGAUGCAGGAAGCCAGCGAGAGCUGCUACAAGACCAUCAAACAGUCCUAGGCUGAAAUCGAUAAAGUCGCUGCUGGAAAAAAUGGACUUGCUUUUCUCUCUAUAAAGUUCAAAACCUGCAAGUAAUUAAUCAUAUUACUUUACAUAACUGCUUAUAUUGUAUAUCCAUCCGAUUUUCCCUUAAUUACAAUUAAUGCAAUGUUAUUUUAGCAUCGUUAUCGAAUGUACUAUGUCUAAUUAAUUAUAUGUCAUCCUCAGCGUUUAUAUACAUUUCGAUUAACGUGUAAUAUACAAAGUAAAAAUCUGGAUUUGGGCUUAUUCACGGCCUUUGUGUUACCAUAUAUAGUAUACUGGUGCUUCGAUUCAGACGUCCAUAUUUUGCAGAAUCUAAAUUUAAACUACAAAACCACGCACAACUCUGAUAAUCAAAUGAGGCCAAAUUUGAACGUUUGCAUUUGAGAAUGUCAAUAGCUUCAUACUUAUAGAGUUUAUUGUAAUCUAACUAAAUAUAACAACAUUUUUAAGACAGUAUGUUGAAAGAUCUUUUAUAAAGUUAAUGACCUUGUGGCACUUAAUUCUAUGUUAUUGUUUAUUUGAUUACAGGCCUCUGAAGGAUGUUUCAGAAUUGAAAGAUUAUUUAGAGUAUAUGUAUACGGGUGCAGCUCAGUAUGGUGAUCCUCAGGAAAGCCCAGUGAACAAAGCCUGCAAUGGCAUUGAUGGAGCUUUAGAAGGCACAGAUACCGGAUCUUCUCAGGAAUUGUUGAUUUAAGAGGGGAGGAUUCUUGCCAUGAUGUUGAUGAAUUCUUCUCCGAUGCAACAUUGGACUCCAGCUGGGGCUGACAGGUAUGCAAUUACAAGUGACAUGAUUUCAUUGGAUAGUUCUAUUGAGACGUUAAAUAAACAACAUGUGACAAUGAGAACAAUACCUAUUUUAUGUACAUCUCUUAAUUUUAUUUAUGAGACUUAAUAUUUAUGAAUGAUUAAAAAUAGUUUUCUUCUUUAUCUUAUUUUAUUAUUAUUAUUUUUUAUUAUUGGGGGGUUUCUCAUGCAGACAUGCAGUGAAAUGGUCUCACCAAUUGGAAUUGGCAAAAACGACACAAUGUUUCAAGCAGACCCAUUUAAUCUGACAGAAUAUAUGGAUUCAUGCAAUAAGUAUUAUGGAGUGGUUCCAAGACCACAUUGGAUUACAACUUCUUAAAGUGGUAAUGUAAGUGUCGAUUAAUCCCCAAAUUAAUUCUUCUAAUAUUUUAAGGUUUCUCAUUUUCUGUUUUAAUUAUAAAGUUCACCUCAAUUUUUGUUUGAUUUCUAUUUCUUUUUAAUUUGCAGGAUAUAAGAGUGGUUUUAAAGAGAUUUGGUAGCAACAUUAUUUUCUCUAAUGGCCCUCGUGAUCCCUAUAGUAGCGAAGGGUAAUUAAGCUUAAGAAUUGUGUACACUCUUUUCUAUCGAAGUUACCUGUUUAAUUAUAUACCUUUUUCUGUUUCUUCGUUUUUUUUUUGGGGGGGGGGAGAGGAUUAUAGGAUUCUGGAAGAUAUAUCAGACAGUAUAAUAGUAGUGACAACAAGAAACGGUAUUUAAAAUUUUCUAUAAAAUAAAAAAUUAGUGUUCAAUUAUUAACUAAAUUAUUGGAUAACAUAAUUAAUAGUGUGUAAAUUGGAGUAGGUUCCCAUUGCUUAGACACACAGCCAGCAACAGAAGAUGACCCAGUAUGGUUAGUAGUGCAGCGAAAGAUUGAAGUGGACAUGGUUCAUGAUUGGAUCCUCAAAUAUUUUGCAGAUUUGGUUCAAAAUCAGAGCAUAAGAUUAAAUUGUGACUACAAAAUUAGUCUUUUGUUUUUCUUCCUCUCCUCUAUCUUUCUAAUAUUUAUGGAGUAAAGAUAAAUAAUAAUAGUGCACCUAGCUAGUUUGGAUUUGGUUGUCAUUUUCAUAAUUUUUACUCUGAGUUGUCUAAAUGUGUAGAACAGGUGUGCAAUAUUACUUAAUGUAAAGCACUUAAGGCUCAAUCUUUAUGUAAUAAUCAUAUGGUGAAUAUCAAUUCAUAUACAAUCAGAUUGGGUUAACCAUUUUCUCCCUUUGAUUUAAGAGUUACCGUAUAGGUACUUGAAGCUGGAGAGAGUCAAAGAUUUGCCCUCCACACACACACACAUAUGGAAAUGUUUUAAUCUGGAAUUUUAAAGUGCAAGAAUAUCUUGGAAAACACAUAAACCAUGCGGUUUAAGCCUUUAAAACCCUGUGGUUUUAAAGUUUUUCUGAACGUUUCCCGCACUUUUAGAUCCCUUAUAUGCCUCAAAAGUUAGGUGUUUAUGCUUAUAUGCUCCGUUUAUUAGUAGCCAAGCUUACGAGUAUAUUACUUUAGGCGAACCUCUCCCUAUUCUUCUCCAUAAUGGCUAUUUCUCUUAAUUAUUUGACAAUCUAAUGCAAUCCCAAACGUGACUUAGCAUCAAGUUUAGGAUGGCAGUGGCUGAUAAAAUAAGUUAUUUUUGUUGUGAGGAUGAAAUAAGUUGAUGAUUAAAAAAGUAUCUUGCUCGUGUUUGGUAAAUUUGAUUAUGAAUGAGUUGUAUAUUAUUUAAUCACUAAAAUAGACAUAAGUUUAAACAGUGUUUUAUUUAUAUAUUAGAGCUUAUAGAAAAGAAAGAUAUAAUUAUUCUUUUCUUAAAAUAUUAAGAUUAUUAUAGGAACAUUUGAAAAGAUCUAGCAACUUAUUUAAGAAGUUGCUUAUCAAAAUAAUCUCCUGCCUGUUUUUAGAAGUUGCAGUCAAAAUUGAGAAAAUUACGAACGAAGCAACUUUUAACAAAGCCAUCAAACCUCAUUUUUAUCUAAACUUAUAAAAUAAACUGCUUAUAGCAUUUCAAUCACAAUCUUGGGUCAUUAGUCUUUAUGUAGAAUCAGAUUAGACAUUGAAUAUUUCUAAUUUUCUACACAUAUAAAUUAAAAUAUGUAGACUAGAAAAACCCCUUGACUUCGUAAGUCCACCUCAUUCUUUAAUUUCCACAGCACAUGUCAAGCCGUUUUUUCCAAAUAAUUGCUGACUAGGAGAAGUCUUAUAGUCAAGGUGAUUGGAUGAGCGUGUUAUGGAAUUACGUAUCGUAGGGGUUCCCUGCCCUCAACUAAAAAAGUUGCCUUAAAAAUUAAAUAUUAAAUAAUAUGGUGUGUGUAUAUAUAUAUAUAUAUAUAUAUAUAUAUAUAUAUAUAUACCAGAAGGAAAUAGGAUCGAAGGAUGGGUGUGCUUUCGUUGGAACUCAAAAUUAAAAACUCAAAUUAAACAAUGGAUUGAAAUGGAUCGGCUUUGUCCAAAUUUUAAAAUAAAUUACCAGCUUUAAAUGAAGUAGAUUUGCUUUGGAACGCGGUUGGUCAAAUUUUAUAGUAUUUAAAGUACGUGGCGUUGUUAGACCAGAUCGAUCGCAGAAGUUAAUCUGCCUUUGGACCCAGAUCUGACUUAGACCAGAUCAAUAGUCCGCACGUUCGGGUUUCCAGCCUAUAUACUUCAAUAUAUUUACCAGAUAUUUGUUAGAUUCUUUAUCAAGCCUAGCAACACAUACAUCUAAGGCUUGGGUACAUACACAGUACUAGAUCCGGAUCCCGGAAAUAGUGCUCUGAAGAAGGAAGGAGAAAGAAAGAUACAACUGAGGAUUGAGAUCUGGUCUCGUUGCCUCAGAGGAAUGUAUAAUUUAUAUGGCAGAUCUGAUACAGAUCAGUCUGCAAGCAUGCUUUAAAAGGAAAUGCUUUAAAGUAAAUUACUGAAAUGUAAAUUACAUUGAACUUUAAAAAUUUAAAGAACUGAACUUUAAACAUACAUGUUGCUUUGAUGCUUUGGUGAUUGAUACAAUUUUAGGGAUGUGUCUUUGAAAGAAAGAUUGAAAGACGGGAAGAUUACAAGACAGGAAACCUCCUUGAUGUCUUGAGCAUUUACAAGACAGGAUAGUUUUCCCGAGUGUCUUGAUCCAGACUUCCCUUAGAGAGAGAGAGAUUUUUAGAGAGAAUGAGGAGAAGAAGAGAGAGAAGUGAAAAACCAAAAAUGAAAAACCUGAGGAGUCUAAGUCUUCCUCUUGGUUUAUAUACAAAAUCUUUAAACUGUUCACUGUAGCGGAGUUUUGAGUGCACAGUAAUCUUUGGAAAUUGGCACUGUUCACUGUAGCGGAGCUUUGAGUGCACAGUAAUAUUUGGAAAUUGGUACUGUUCUUUGCAACAUAUGUCGAGCAGGAAUUACUGCAGCUGUUAUGCCGAGCAGGAAUUACUGUAGCUGUUAUGCCGAGCAGGAAUUACUGUAGCUGAUAAACAGAGCAGGAAUUACUGUAUGCAGAGCAGAGAACUUUGGAUGGUAACUUUGAAGAUUUUGUAACACGGGUGAAGAGACAUGUGCGCUCUCACUUGUGUCCAAGGGACCACUCGAAAAUGUAAAAUUAUCAAGAAAUUACUUUUUUUUUUUUUUUAAACAGUUACAUGAACUAUUUACAAUGCUUUACAGGAGGGAAAAUUCCGAAACAAUCGUCUUCAUUUUCGUCUCCGAGGGAGAUGGUUGGCUCAUCUUCUUCGUCUUCAUCUUCAGAGGAGUCAGCCACUGAUGACUUUGACCGGGAGGCGAGGAGCUGUUCCAUGGCUUUGAAGUACUCUUCUUCUUUCUUGGCACUUGCCAGAAGAGAUUGGGCUUUGGAUUUUUGGGUAAGGAAGGUUUGCUGGGCUUUGGAGUCUUUAAUGGUUGGCUAUAGAUGGCCUCUAGUGGAGAGCCAUUUUUCAAUAUCAUUAGUAGUCAAUUUGGUUCUUUCAUCAAAUUUUGACCACCAUUUGACUUUGAAAGUUCUUUGAAGGAUGAAUUGGGCAUCUUGAUUGUGGUACCGAAGGCUCCACAUCCAAACCCAAGGGAGAAAGAAGUUUGUACAGAAACAGAGAAAAGGAGGAAAUCUUUUUUCAGACUCAGUAGGUUUGUAAUGGGCUUUAAAAAGAUUUAGACAUUGUAUGGCGUUUGGGGUAAGGAUAUCUGGGCUUGGCCCAAAAUGAUUCCACCAAUGAUGAAACCAAUUUGGUAGGCUUUGGACGGUUAUUUUUGAAUUAAAGAAAAAUAACCAAGAAUGGGAUUUUUUAGGAUUUUGAAUAAAAAAUGUGUUGUACCAGGCUUGUUGGUAAUCCUAGUAGGAAAAAGUCCGACAAUGUGGUAAACGGGUCUCAAAAUUUAAAGGAAAGGUUUUAUAAUUGUGGAGUAGGUCACCCCACUGAUUUGGGCUCAAGACUUUAAGGAUUGUGGCCGUGGAAUAGGCCGGCUCAGAAUGAGUAUCACUGAGAAAGAAAUGUUUGAAUUUGACUGACUCAGUAAUUUCUAAAAUGCUUUGAUAAUAAGACUGGGGUUUUGUUAAAUCCCAUGGUUUAAAAAACCAGCCUUUGGGAAAAAACUUUGAAAUACUUUGAAAAGGAUCAGUAUGGUAAAAUCCAUCUUCCAUAGAAAGAAUGUUUUGAAAAUGGGCUUUAUCAAACCAAUCGGAGGUUUUCUUUGAAGGUGUUGGCUGAGAAAGCACAAUUUGGGAGGAUGAGCUUUCACAGGACACAACAACAUUUUGGGAAGAAGGCUUUGAAAUUUCUUUGGAAAUGGGUUUUUCUUUGCCUUCUACUUUAGGAGAAGAUUGGCUUUGAGAAAGAUUUUGUAAGGCGAGCAUAAGCUCAGGGGAUUUUGUAAUGGAACUCAUCCAUUGCUUUACUUGGUCAUCAGAAGAAAUAGAUUUGUAUUGGGCUUCAUGUUCCUCGACCAAUUCAAUCCAGGAUUUAAUGGGCAAGGCAGAAGAAAGAAGCUUUUCUUUAGAGGGGGUUGUUUGAGGUUCUUUAGAAGGUUCUUGAGAUUCAGUGUCUUUAAGAACUGCUUUACCUUUGUCCUUUCUUUUUGGCGCCAUUAUCUGUUUUGAAGAAAUUCUCUGGUUAGAAAAUCAGGAAUAGAAUUUUUGUCACCUUUAAUAAACUCAAUAUCAAAAUCAAAAACACUUAAAAUAGCUUGCCAACGUGCAAAAAUCUGUUUGGAUGCAAUGUUUUGAACAUCUUUUUCUAAAACAUGUUUUGCAGCUUUGCAAUCAAUUCUAAGUAAAAAUUUUUGAUUUAAUAAAUCGCUUUGAAAUUUAGAUAUGCAUAAAACAAUGGAAAGAAUUUCUUUUUUGAUAGUAGAAUAUUUUUUCUGGCAAUCAUUCCAAUGAGCAGAAACAUAUUGUACUAUCUGUUCUUUAUCAUUUUCCUUUUGUUUUAAAAUACCUCCAUAACCUAUAUCAGAUGCAUCAGUCUCAACAAUUUUAGGUAAUGCAGGAUUUGCAAGAAAUAAACAUGGGAUGUUUUUUACAGAUUGCUUUAUUAAUCUAACAACUUUAGUAUGUUCAUCUGACCAUGCAAUAUGAUUCUUUUUCAACCUAUCAUGCAAGGGUUUAGACAUCCUAUUGAUGUUAGGGCAGAAAUCGAGAACAUAAUUUAAACUACCAAGAAAUCUUUGUAAUUGGGUUUUGUCAAGAAUUUUGUCUGGGAAUUUAUCCGCAAACAAAAGAGAUCUUUCAAUUGGAGUAAUGGUUCCUUUAGAAAUAUGGUGACCAAGGAACCUGACUUUUGUGUGAAAUAACGAAAUUUUUGAACUAGAGAGGGCCAACCCAGCCUUUCUAGUAGCAAGAUAAAAAGUCUUUAAAUGUUUGAAAUGUUGAUCAAUAGUCUGAGAAAAAAUCAACACGUCAUCAAUAUAAACAAUGCAAAACUCAGAAUAAGGAUUGUAAAUGUCAUUCAUGAUUCUUUGAAAUUCUGAGGGUGCAUUUUUCAAACCAAAAGGCAUUACUGUCCACUCGUACUGACCAAAGGGAACAGUAAAAGCUGUUUUAUAACGGUCUUUAGGGUGAAUCUGAAUUUGCCAAAAACCAGACUUCAUAUCAAAUUUUGAAAAAAUGAAAGCUGAGCAGAGUUUUUGGAGCAAAUCUUUUUUGUUAGGUAUGGGAUACCUAAUCCACUUUAAAGCUUUAUUCAAAGGUUUGUAAUUUAUCACAAGUCUUGGAAUACCUCUUUCAAUUUCAGAGUUUUUAUUAACAUAGAAAGCGGCACAAGACCAUGGUGAUCUGGACUUUACAAUAAGACAUUUGGUUUCUAAAUCUUUUAUUUCAUUUUUACAAUGUUGUUCCAAUUCCAUAUUCAUUUGGAUUGGACGAGCUUUAGUGGGUAUUUUCUUUUCAUCAAAAGAAUUCUCAUAAGGCAGAUCUACCAGGUGUUGUUUUCUAUUCCAAAAAGCAGAAGGUAGAUCAGCACAAAUUUCUUUUUCAAUAAGGGCUUUAAAAUCAGAAAUUUUACUUUGUAUAAAAUCAUUUUGCAAUUGACUCUCAAUUCUUUGAAAACUUAAUUCCUUUUGUAAACAAAAUAAAUCAUCUUGUUUAGAAUUAAGGAUGGCAUUGACUUUGUUUUGAUAAACAGAACAAGCUUUGACAAUAUUAAGAUUCCUUGUCUUUGGUUUUUCAAUAAAUGAGAAAAUAAGAUCUUUGGAUUUUGCUCUGAAAUAAAUACCAUCAUAAUUGAUAGCAUAAGGGGUUAUAAGAUUUAUAAAAGGGGUUAUAAGAUUUAUAAAAGGGGUUCCUAAAAUGAUAGCAUGGUGUAUAUCAUUUGUAAGAACAAAAGAGGUUUUGAAAUCAAUUCCAUCGUUAAAAAUAGAAGCUUCAACUUUGGAAUUUACUUUUAGUUUUGAAUUAUUAGCAGCAGAAAGUCUUUCAUUUGUCUUUUCAUGAAAUCUCUUUGGAACAAUGUCCUCUCUAAUACAAUUUAAAUCAGCACCAGUGUCAAAAAGGGCAAUGGCGUCCAUUGCAAAAUCUUUGGAAAAGAUUAAAGUAAUUUUUACCAAAUAUUUUCUGGUGGUGAUUUGCUUUAAAACAAACAAAAAAUCUUUUGGAACAGACUCAAUGUUUUCAACUUUGUCAUCAUCAUCAGGAGUUGACUCAUUAUCUGAGUUAUCCUGUAAUUGUUUUUGUAAAAGAAGUUGGAUAGUAAUAGAAUCACUUUUUUGUUUUUCUUUCAAAUCCUUUAUUUCAAGUUUAAUAUCCUUGAUCUCCUUCUGAAGAUCUUGGAUACUAGGAAUGGACUUCUUUGUUUUCUUUUUGUCUAAAAUCUCAGUAAGAUCAUAAGAAUUCUUUUUAACAAUAGGAACUUUAGAAGUUUCUGCCUUGUUUGAAUCCAUGGUUUUCAAAAGUUUAUCAAGAUAUUCUUUUUGAAGAUUUGGAUCAGAAAUAUGCUUUACAAGUUCGAGGAAAAUCUCUUGGUCUUUAGUCAAAACAUUGAUUUUCUUUAAAUAAGAAUCCGAAUCAGAAUCGCUACUGCUAGAUGCAGAGGUAUCUGAAUCAAAUAACUCAUCAACUUGAAGGGGGUCACUAUCUCCCGACACGGAGGACUCAGAAUCAGAGGACUCUACCAGAAGGGGGGCAAUUUUAGAAAGGAUGUCCUUAUUAAGGUCAAGCUCUUGGAGUCUUUUGUUCAUUCUGCAAAAUUUUGCAGUAUGACCUUUCAUACCACAUUUGAAACACGUGGCAUCUUUGAAAUUGAAUGGGGUUUUAGGUUUGGUUCUAAACUCUUUCUUUUUAGAAAAACUAUGUUUCUUAUAAGGCCUCGAGGGUUUCUUAUAAGGAAGUUUUCUAAAAUCAUGAAAGGGUUUCCUAUGGCUUUUAGACUUGUAAUGUUUCUUGUAAGGUUUUGGAGAACACUUACCAUUACAGUCUUUAGAAGUAGAAGUUUUAAAGGGGUCAUAAUUGAAUUGCUUACAGAAACCGCCUAAUUCUUGCUUAGAUUUCCUAAGCUCUCAUUUUAGACGUCUCUGUAAUUUCAAAUCUUGACAGAUCUUUAAUCCUUCUUUAUUGACAAAACUGACUAGUUCACCAUAGGUGAGCUCGUCAUAAGGAACACGAUUGUCAUAAAGAGCUUUGAUGGAAUUUCUAACCUUUUCUCCCAAAAGGGUAGGUAAACCUGCAAGGAAUUUCUCCUUCCAAGUUACAUGAUUCGCAUCAUCCCUUAGGAAGAGUCUGGUAAAGAAAGUGGUUUUGUAAUCUUGAAAUUCACUGAGUUUUCUACAUCUCAAGUUGUGUAGUAACUCGGCGUUUUUGUCUCUAAGGUGAGAAGGGUCACCUAUGAAGUGAAGGGAUAUGGUCAAAAUCAGGGUAGCAACAGCAUCCUGAAUAGGAUUAUUGAACUCGUCAAGAAUGGGGGCACCAUUCUCAUCGAUUUGAAUAGCAUUUAAGAUGUCUAAUUGCUGCAAUUUAGUGAGAAGAUGAUCCCACCAUCCUUUAAGUUGGCCGGUAAAACCAGCAAUUAGGAUUUCUGCAAUGGCCUUGUCAGAAGUUCCUGAUUGGGUUUUAUAGGCAUUGGCUGCCAUGGUCAUUUGCUGCAAUACACCUAAAAUGUUGUACUCAGACAUUCCAUCUAUAUUCCACUCAUAGACAGAGGAUGCAUUAUAUCGAGCUUGAUUUAAUGCACUAGGCCUGUUGUCUAUAGUCAAAUCAGGUGGAGAUUUGGAAAUAGGGAGAGCUAAUUCCCAUUGGAUUUUGUUGGCUUUAGGAACAGGUUCUUCGGUAAAGGCUUCUAUGUCUGAAGAGGCAAUAGAAACCUGGUCAAGAUUUAAUACUCCAAUCUUGCUAGAUUGAGGAGUAUCAGGGGCUAUCUGAACUUUGCUAGAUGAGGAAGAAGCAGCUUCUAUCCUAUCUAACUGUUCUCUAAUGGCUUUAGCAAAAUCCGAUUUUGACUCAUGAACAAGCCUUUGGCUAGUUUUCGAAACCUGAAAAGGUUUGAAAAUAGGUUCCUUAAGCUUUUUAUCAGAAUCUGAUUUUGAAGGAAUAGGUUUUAGACUAGGAGAAAUAGAUAUGGUUGACUGUUGGAAUUGGUUUUCUAUUCUAGUCAACUGUUUUCCUAUAGUAUUUAAGUUAGUAUUACAGAAAUUAUUCUGUUGGAUAAUACUACUUAAAUUGGCUUCAGAAUCAUUUGGCUUUGGUAUUUUGUAUGGUGAAGCUCUGAUUUGGACGGGAGGUUCACCAUGAUCAAUGGUAACACUCCGAAGAGGUGGGUGUUCCGACUCUAUGGUUCUAUCGCUAUCAAGAAGUUUCCAUUCAGGAAUUUUCUUCCUAAUAGUGAUAGGAUUUGACUCUUUGAAAUGAUAAGAGAUAUUGUUCUCAGAAGAAUAUAUUUCGAACCAAUCAAAAAACAAUAUAUGAACUUGAUGUAAAUUCACAAAUUCAUAAUAAGUCUGUUGGAUUUCUUUUCUUUGAUUUAGGAAAUGCUCAAAAAACCAAAGUCUUUUUUCUUUAUUGUUUUCUGAAUAAAAAUCAUUAUGAAGAAGAGUUUUAUCUAAAUCAAAAUGCUUCUCAAUAACAUUUAAAACAUUUUCUGUGACAGCAGAGAAUGUAGGGGAAGUUGGAGGAGAAGGUUCCUUCUCUUCCUGACUUUGUUCAUGUUGACUGCUAAUAUAAAUGGGAUGUGGUACUUUUGUGGUAUAGUCAACAGAACGAAUGGAGGAACUAGGUAAAUCCGAAGUGGAAAACCUAGGUUGACUUUGAAAAGGAAGAUUUACAACAGAAGGAAUUUUUGUAAAUUUCCUUUCUAAUGAAGGAAUACUUGAGCACGACUCUCUAUCAGAAAAUCUGGUUGAAUUAGAUCUCCUGAACGACAAUUUGACUUUACCAUCAGAAUACUGAGUCACAUUUUGCAACUCUGUAUUUGGCUCAAGUUGUCUUGGAACUGCUGGUGGAGCAAUUCCUUCAAGAAUCCAUUCCUCUGGAAGAUUGACAUCUUUCCAUUGGAUUGGUUUUGGAAUGACAGUGUUUGCUUUAGACAAGUCAGUCUGCAAGAGAAGAGUCUCAUCUCUUUUUUACUGGAAUUUAUGCUGCGUGCUAAACGCAGAGAUCAUAGCCUUAUAUGAGAUUUUAAAGAUUAAAGCAACCGGGACAUAUCCCUCUAUCAUAUUAUAAUUAUGUGUUUUAAUCUGUAAAAUCAUGCUUUUCAAAAUAUUUUUGUCUUUAAGAGAAAGCGUUAUGUUAGGAUAACAGUCAAAAGAAAUUGGACCUUUACAUAGACUGGACUCAAUGCUACUUAGCAAAGAAUCAUCAAAAGAGAUGAAACGGCCAUCUCUAAGGACAGCAAGGAUAGAAGUAUCCAAGCCUUCUUUGGUUAAAGGCUUUAUUCCUAUUUGGAUUAAACCAAUGUGGAUGUAAUUAAAAUUCUUUUCUUUUAAUUUCUUUAAAGAUUUCUCUGAAAACAGAUGUAUUGUUUCAAAUGGUGAAGAAAGGGUUAUGUCUCUUUCUUCGGUUUUUAUGACAUAAUCACUCUUUAGAAAAUCAAACUUUUUUGUUUUGUAAAUCUGUUCUUUUGAAAUCUUUGGAAGUUCCCAACAAUCAAUUGCUUUAUCAAAGUUCUCAAUAACGAAUUCUUCUGAACUCACAACAUGCUUUGAAUCACUAGUCUUCCCGGAAGAAGAGCUAGAAAAGGACGAUGUUCUAUAGUGUAGAGGAUUCAUGGUUAGAACCCUAUAGUCUAUUUAUGGUUUGGUCAGAAUGGCUACAGGUAUGGUUUUACAGCCCUAAACGGAAAACUUAUCCUUGGACGGGACUUACUACUAGUAAAAAUUCGCCACACAAAAAAACUUCAAAAUAAAACACAAGAUUUUAAACACAAAAUUCUAAACUGCUUUACACAAUCCUCCCCUUGGCUCUGAUACCAGAAGGAAAUAGGAUCGAAGGAUGGGUGUGCUUUCGUUGGAACUCAAAAUUAAAAACUCAAAUUAAACAAUGGAUUGAAAUGGAUCGGCUUUGUCCAAAUUUUAAAAUAAAUUACCAGCUUUAAAUGAAGUAGAUUUGCUUUGGAACGCGGUUGGUCAAAUUUUAUAGUAUUUAAAGUACGUGGCGUUGUUAGACCAGAUCGAUCGCAGAAGUUAAUCUGCCUUUGGACCCAGAUCUGACUUAGACCAGAUCAAUAGUCCGCACGUUCGGGUUUCCAGCCUAUAUACUUCAAUAUAUUUACCAGAUAUUUGUUAGAUUCUUUAUCAAGCCUAGCAACACAUACAUCUAAGGCUUGGGUACAUACACUUAAGGCGCUUACCACUCGCCCUAAAAGCUUAAGCUGUUAGGAGAAGGCGCUACUUUAUACUUAAGCACCACCCGGACCAAACCAGGUAACGUCUCCACGUUAUGCCACGACAUCGUGACCCCACAUCGGCCUUACAGGAGUCACCACAAGGGUGCGGGCCCCAGUUCCAGUACUGGGAUAAUAUAUUAAGCCCAUUCCUCCCCCCCGAGUUUCGAACCCUGGCCGGCUCUGAUACCACUUAAGGCGCUUACCACUUAAGGCGCUUACCACUCGCCCUAAAAGCUUAAGCUAUUAGGGGAAGGCACUACUUUAUACUUAAGCACCACCCGGACCAAACCAGGUAACGUCUCCACGUUAUGCCACGACAUCGUGACCCCACAUCGGCCUUACAGGAGUCACCACAAGGGUGCGGGCCCCAGUUAUUAGUCUUCAUGUUUUGCACAUGUUCGAACGGAAAUUGUAAUAUUAAAUAAUAUGGCAUUAUUAAAGUUUAAAAAAAAUCUAAAAUUAAUCAUAAAAAUAUAUAUAUUUUUAACUCUUAAUGUUUUGCACAGGUAUGGACGGCAAUUAUACAAUGAGAACGAAACAAUAAUAUAAUCGUGCGUUUGACACACUGUAUUGUAUUAUGUUGUAUUGCAUUAUUUUAUUGCAGGUGUAUUGUAUUAUGUUGUAUUGCAUUAUUUUAUUGCAGGUGUAUUGUAUUAUGUUGUAUUGCAUUAGCAUUGUAUCAUAAUAAUGUUGUACAAUGUUUGGCGUUACACUGUACUGUAUUAAUUUUUUUGUGAUUAAUUUAAAUUAUAUAUUUAAAAUAAUAUUUAUUAGUACUUAAAAAUAAUAAAUAUAAAAUUCUUAAAUUUUAGAAAUUUAACAUUUUUAUUAAAAAUAUAUAUUGAAAUGUCAUAAUUCUUCCGAAGCUUAUAGUCUUAAAUUUUUGGAAGUGUAUUUUUCAGUAUUUUCUAAAUAUAUAACUUGUGAAACAAAGAUCGAAGUAAAUAAAUUAAUCAAAUAAUCACUAAAUAAUUUAACAACAUAAAUAAAUAGUUAAAAUCUUCAAGAUUAAUUCAAAAAUCAUUUGAGGAUGAUAGAAUAAAAGUUUAUACAUAUUACAAGAUAAUUGUAGAAUAAUAAAGUGAUACAACUGUUAUGACAUAUUCACUAAGAAAAUAAAUUGAGCUAAAUAAUCCAGUAUUUUUUUAUAUUAUUAAUUUUCAAUUAAUAUUAUUCAAAUUUAAAUAUUUAUUGUUAGUUAUAUUAAAUUAUUUAAAAAUAGCUAAAUUAAUUAUUGUACUAUAAUUAAUAAAAUAUUAUAUUAUUUAAGUAUUUAUUACUAAUUAUAUUAACUUAUUAAAGAUUAAUUAAUAUACUUUUAUAUAUUAAUUAAAAUAAUACAAUUAAAUAAUACAUUGUUUAGUUAUAUAUUUAAAAUAAUAAAAAUUAAAACAUAAUUUAAUAUUAUGUAAUAUAAUCUUAAAUUAAAAAAUUAUAUUAAUUUGUUAUUAUUAUUAUUACAAAGAGAGAAAAAAAAAAAAAAGGCAAACUAAGUUGCCGCAUUAGCUAACCCCAACUAAGGGUCGGUUAAACACCCCCAAAAUGAACACUGGUUAAGCUAAUUGGGGUGGUUAAAAUUUGCACUCCCGUGACUGCGCACGAGGAACGCCCCUUUGCUUAUAAUAGCUUACCGUUCAUCUAGUAAUUAUAUAUAAAUCUUUCCAAUGUGGGACAAAUGUAUUUUCCUUUAAUUUUUCAAAUUCAUGAGUGCACUUUGAGUAACAAUUUCUCAUUCACUUGAGGAUCAUUUUGAUCAUAUAGAUAACAUUCCGAAGUACUCAUAGAGGAAUAUGCGAAACAAUUUCUGACUUUUCGCUUAUACCAAAUAGGUCUCAUUCAAAAUCAUGCCUCAAGUAGCUACUUGCGCAUUAUUUUUCUAACACUUUCUUUUUGUUUUUUUUAAAUUUGGUUGCGUGCAGAAAAAUUGAGCGGUAAUGAAAAUUUCAUCUUCUUUCAUUUAUGAUGUUUAGGGUUAAAAAAAAAAAAAAUGUUAGUUAGCCCAUGAGCUAUGGUAUGUAUGUUACAAAAGAUAUGAUUAGUCUUGUUUAUUUUCCUAUUUGAGCCAUUAUUUAUAACAAUUCUUUUCUUUGAACUUUUUUCCUUUUCUUAUUUUGGGUAAUACUUAAUAUCUUAUACUACUAAUAAUGCUAUUAAUUAUUUCUAAUAUUGUCCAUAUUAUCUCAUGUUUCUGCAAAGUUGUUCAAAUAGAUCUACACCUCACAAAUACAAGCCGAUAAGGUUAUAUCUCCAUGAUUGAAUCCAUCCAGAGAAGACAUUGACUCACACUAUUUGAAAACGCGUAUUGGAAGUUAACACCGGGAGCUUGCAAAACAAUUAAUUCUUAUAUAAACGCUUUGCUGAGAAUCAAAUGUAGCUCAAUCAACCGAAAACCACCAUAAACAUGGCAUCAGCGUCCUCUGUUUCGAGACUGGUGGUCAUUAUAAUUUUAAUUAAUGUUGGUGCUAUAAGUGAUACGACAAUAUCUGUAACGACAUCAGCUGCAGGAUUAUUGUCGUCACCCAUACUGUUAGAAAGGGAAGCUUUACUUGCUACAGGCUGGUGGGUCAACAAUUGGGCGACGACGGGCAACUACACGUCCGAUCAUUGUAAGUGGACUGGCAUCAGUUGCAAUUCAGCGGGAAGCGUAAUCGGGGUCAGCUUACUCUGGUAUGAAAAUGAUAACAUCAUAGGAGAGCUUGGUCGUUUCAAAUUCUCUUGCUUUCCCAACCUCAGAAGUUUCAAAAUUCGUUCAAAUUAUCUUCUCUCUGGGAGCAUUCCAUCUGAAAUUACUGUUCUUUCAACAAUCCGAACUCUUGAACUGACCUCCAACAAUCUUACCGGUAAGCUGCCAAACUUCACUGUAACAUAUUAUAUUUUUUAUAAAAUCGUGCUCAUGCUUAGUGCGGGCGUUUGCUUUUACAAUGCUGAAGAAGUGUGUGCCGUCCGCACUUGAGUAUGACUCUCUCUCCAUAUAAAUUUUGCAUUUUUUUUUUUUGUUGUUAUGAGGAUAGUGAAUACUGAUCUCGUUUUUCAUAAAUCAUAUGCACAACAGGAAUUAUCCCUUCAGAGAUGGGGAGAUUGAGGAAUCUCGUCCACCUGGAUCUAUCUAAUAAUCACCUUACGGGACAUAUCCCUCCAACUCUUGGUCGUCUAAGCAAAUUGAAAAUUUUUGAACUUGUCUUCUAACUCCCUUGUUGGUAAUGUCCCCUCCACUCUAAGUCAUCUAACCCAGCUAACUACUUUGGCUAUUGCCUCAAACCAAAUUAAUGGUUCCAUCCCAUUAGAAAUCGAGAAUUUGAAGGUUCUUCACGUUCUUGACCUGUCCAGAAAUGAAAUUGGAGGUUCAAUUCCUUCAACAAUUGGCCAUUUAAAGAGGUUGAGAAUUUUAGACUUGUCCCAAAACAAACUUGUUGGUCCAAUCCCUUCGUCUGUAGGUCCUUUGACUCAGCUAACUACUUUGAAUAUGCACUCAAACCGAAUUAAUGGUUCCAUCCCAUUAGAAAUCGGGAAUUUGAACUUUCUUCAAGUUCUUGGCCUGUCCGACAACAAACUUCAAGGUCCAAUUCCUUCGACCAUAGCUAGUUUAGUCAACUUGAAAUCUCUGUCCCUGGAAUAUAACAAUCUAAUUGGACCUAUUCCUUCAACACUUGGUCAUUUAAACAGGUUGACAGAUUUAGACUUGUCCGAAAACAAACUUGUUGGUCCAAUCCCUUCGUCUGUGGGUCAUUUGAACUUUCUUCAAGAUCUUGACCUGUCCAACAACAAACUUGAAGGUCCGAUUCCUUCGACUAUAGCUAGUUUAGUCAACUUGACAUAACUGUCCCUGCAGGAUAACAAUCUAACUGGACCUAUUCCUUCAACACUUGGUCAUUUAGACAGGUUGACAUAUUUAGACUUGUCCGAAAACAAACUUGUUGGUCCAAUCCCUUCGUCUGUGGGUCUUUUGAACUUUCUUCAAGUUCUUUACCUGCCCAACAACAAACUUGAAGGUCCAAUUCCUUCGACCAUAGCUAGUUUAGUCAACUUGAAAUCUCUGUCCCUGGAAUAUAACAAUCUAACUGGAUCUAUUCCUUCAACACUUGGUCAUUUAAACAGGUUGACAUUUUUAGACUUGUCCGACAACAAACUUGAUGGCCCAAUUCCUCCGGAACUCAUGAAUUGCUCAAAGCUGACGACAUUAAUAUUGGGAAACAACUUGUUAAGCGGAAGCAUUCCAUCACAGAUCGGCAAACUUCAAAAACUAUAUUAUCUUGAUCUAAGCGAUAACUCCAUCAAUGGUAAAAUACCUUACCAACUUGGAGCAAUUCCGGGCAUACACACCGUGGACCUUUCCAUGAAUAACCUUUCCGGUGGAAUCCCUGUAUUUGUCAGAAAAGUGCCACACUUAGAUGUGUCAGGCAAUAAAUUCGGAGGAGAAAUCCCAACUACUUUGGCAAAUGCGCCACCGCCACAUCACAAAACGAUUGCCACUCGCUUGGUUGCAAUUAUUCUUGCUAUGGUCGCAUUCCUUGCCUUGAUAUUUGGAAUCUUGAUUAUCCAUAGACGAAGGGAUAAGGAAGUUGAACCAACUGGGACAGGAGAAAUUACCAAGUGCGCUGAUGAGUUUGCAAUUUGGAAUUACGAUGGUAGAAUUACAUUUCAAGACAUGAUUGAAGCCACUGAGGAUUUCGAUAUCAAAUACUGCAUUGGAACCGGAGGCUACGGCAGCGUUUACAGAGCACGGCUGCCCAAUAGAAAAGUGGUUGCUUUGAAGAAGCUUCACCGUUCAAAAACUGAGGAGUUAGCUUCCCUCGAGAGUUUCCAAAAUGAGGCUCGUCUACUGUCCCAAAUACGGCAUCGAAAUAUCGUAAAGCUUUAUGGCUUUUGUUUGCACAAGACAUGCAUGUUCUUAAUCUAUGAGUACAUGGAAAUGGGAAGCUUGUUCUGUGUUCUACGCACAGAUGAGGAAGCUGUUGGGUUGGAUUGGACUAAAAGGGUGAACAUUGUGAAGGGUAUGGCUCAUGCUUUGUCAUACUUACAUCAUCACUGCACACCACCAAUUGUUCACCGGGACAUAUCAAGCAACAACAUUCUACUCAACUCAGAAUUAGAAGCAUUUGUUGCGGACUUUGGCAUUGCUAGAUUGUUAAAUUUUGACUCAUCCAACCGAACUCUUUUAGCUGGCACUUUUGGAUAUAUUGCUCCAGGUCAUCCUCUAGCUAUUCCUCUUAUGCUUCUUUAAUUAUCCUCUUAAUUAAUUUUUAUAUAUACUCUGCCAAACCAACAAAGUGUUGGCUCCACUGGCAAUGGAGUCCCCUUAAGUGGCUUGACUGGGUUUGCUCCCCAGUUCGAGUCCCAGGUAAGUCGCGUUUGUUGGGAGAACCUGUGCCUCCCGGUUCGAGCGAGGACUUCUAGUCUUGGUUGUGGUACGGGCUUAAAAGUGCCUCCCACAGUUGGGGCCCUCCCCAGGAUACCUCGUGAUUAUAUCAAAAAAUAUAUAUAUAUACUCUGCCAAGUAGUUUUUAAGCAGCUUUAUUUAGGUCGCUACUUGGUUCGAAUUUUGAAAAAGCUAAGGGGCUAAAACUAAAUUUAAACUUUGCCUACCCCUUUUCCUUUUAAAACACACACACACUGAACAUAAGUUAAAACAUAAGUUUCUUUGUCAUAACUUGCUACGGAAGCUAAAAAACAUGAACAAAUUGUUCUUGUUAUUAUUUAUGGAAACGUUACUAAUGAAGGCCUUUGUUUUCCUAUAGAACUUGCCUACACCAUGGUUGUGACAGAGAAAUGUGAUGUUUAUAGCUUUGGAGUGGUGGCACUAGAAGUACUAGUGGGAAGGCAUCCAGAAGCGCUCCUCUCAUCGUCAUCUUCAUCAUUGGAUAAAAAUAUAAAGCUGAUUGAUUUGUUGGACCCACGCCUCCCGGCUCCGGGGGAUCAAAUGAUUACGCAUGAUAUCAUUCUUGUUUCAACAGUAGUAUUUUCAUGCUUGCGUUCUCAACCAAAGUCUCGACCUACAAUGCAACUCGUGUCAUUCUAAUUAUUAGUUUAUUUUACAAAUUAUAUAUAAAAAUUUCAUUCAGAACGAAGUUCUUGAUGUCGCGUUAUUUAAUAUAUUAGUUUUUUCACUCCUUUGUAAAUAUUCACACAAACAUAUACAAUAAAUUUUUAAUUUCGCCGAUCCGAUCAAACAUCCUGGACCCACCGCUGAUGUCAUCCGAAGGUGAGGAAGCUUCUGCAGAAGUUGUGGUUAGUGAUAUUCUUGCCAGCACAAGAUAAUUAAUUACUAGGAAAGAAAUAAUAAAAAAUUUUAUUAAUUACGAAACUGAUAACUAUAUAUUAAAUGUUGAGUGUUAGAAAAUGUAUAUUUAUGAAGGAGAAAAUCAUCAUUUUACAUUUCAAGUCUUACUAACACCCUUACUUUUAUGUAUUUAAGCUUAUUGUAAUUUAAUUACGUGUGUUUUAUUUUAAUUAAGUAUUUUAUGUAUUUUAGGGGCAUCAUAGUCAUUUCACAAUAAAUGAGAAAUCAUACGCCAAAACGGACAUCACUUUUGAACUCAGGACAGUCGAAAACUUUAGGAGGAACAUAAAAGGAAGAAUGUCACUGUUCACAUGUACAGUGCUAUUUACAUGUACGAUAUUGUCUACGUUACUGUUCAUGACACUAUUCACAUAGACGGAAUGAUGACGUGGCAUUGACCGAUGAUGUGGCAUUGACUGAUGAGGUGUCACGAUCCUAUUGGACUAAAAUUCUUAUGUACUAUUGAUCGAUGACGUGGCAGCAUAUCAGUGGACCAAAAAUCUCGCGUAUGGUACAUGCAUUACACAAGAUUAUUUUCAACCAAACCGUAUUACUAUUCAAACCGCGUGGUCAAACCACGUACUGUUGACUGAUGACGUGGCGCAAUCCUGAGCGUCUGAAAUGUUUUUGAUUCGAUGACCAUGAUUUACUCAAUGUAUCUAUAAAAAGGGGGCUCUCCCCCCUUAAUUUGUUAUCUCUGAAUCCAAUUUUGGGCUCCAUUUUCUGUAAUUCCUUCUUCAUCUUUUAUUUUCUACGUAUUUUAAUAAAUUUCCAUUUUGCCCCUAGAUCAAUUGUGAGUAGCUAAUUUUCUUUCAAGCUUGGGUUGAAGGUGAAGUCUCAACAUAUGUCAUGCGCUCUAUUUGGUAAAUUUAUUUUCUCUUCCCCUCUAGUUUUUGUGGAUGUUUUGACUUCUCGUCGACAAAUAAUAAUAAUCUUGUCUAGAUACCAUCCUGAUUUCACCGACUCCCUAGUACAAGGUUAUUAUUAUUUGGCACAAUAAGCCCUUAGCACCAUAUUGAUUAUAGUGUGGUUCAUGAGGUGUGGAUUCCCCCCUCAUGAUUUAAUUGACAUUAAUAAGGAAUAUUUAGGCCAUGGUGCAUGUUGAUACGGAUCCAGAUACCCAAGUGUUUCAUUUCAAUAGAUUUCUCUUCAAUUUAUUCUCGCCAUUUCAAUUCACUUUCACCACAAAUCCAAACAUCCAUUUAGAAAAAUUAAUUCUACACACAAUUAGAAUCAACCUCCUCGUGGGAUCGACACUCGUCACCAUUAAUCUAUUCUACAAUAGAUUCUUGCACUUGCGAGUUCAAUAAAAUUUGCACAACAUUAGACACACUAUAAUUUUAUGAAAACUGAAGAUCCAUACUAAUAUAAAACUAAAACCACCAUUAAUUAUAUUAUACUAUAACAACAAAUCCAGGAUAUAUUAACAAACACGUCGAUUUUGAAGCUGAAUUUAUAAUCUAAUCUUAACUCUAUUUCUUCUGUAUUUACAUAAUCAUCCUGCUAAUUAAGGAUUUACAACUUUGCCAUGAAAGGUCGGUGGCUCCAUGCCUUUUUCUUCUUCUCGUCACAAAUUUUUCUUUUGCUUCCACUUCACCAUUAAAGAACAUCCCAAAGCUUGGUGCUGUUCGUGGAAGGACUAUUUUUCAAAACCCUAGCAAAAAAAUCCACAAAGUUACUAUUAUGAUCAAACACUUGAUCACUUUAACUAUAAUCCACAAAGUUAUUUAACUUUUCCUCAUAGAUAUGCGUUGAACUUCAAGCAUUGGGGCGGUGGCAGAGCCAUGGCGGCGCCGAUAUUGGCAUAUCUUGGUGAAGAGAGUAGUCUUGAUAUGAUGACCUUGGUGGCAUUGGAUGGCUUGCUGAUAAUGCUCAUCGAUUUAAAGCCUUACAAGUUUACAUAGAGGUAAGUAAAGAAUUUGUUAUCAGGCUAGCUUGAUAAUAAUUAAAAUAGAGUUUGCGUAUGAAAUAAUAAUAAUAAAGACAAAUCUUAAUCAGAAUAUUCUACAAUAUGAACUGAAAAGUUGUGAUGGAUUUUUUUUUAAUUCAAUUUUUUAUGCAGUAUCGGUUCUAUGGAAAAUCAGUACCUUUUGUAUCAAGCAAAGAUGCCCUAAAAAAUGCAACUCUUCGUGGAUAUUUAAACUCUGGUCAAGCUUUGGCAGAUUAUGCAAAGAUUCUCUUACACAUCAAGGAAAAUUUAUCGGCCGAAAUGUCACCCAUUAUCGUCGUUGGAGCAUCUUAUCGAGGAAGUAAAUUUUAAUAUUAUUAACUUACUUACAUCUUUUGAUUAAUGUCGUGUCAUUUGUUGCACCAUUUUAUUCAUUUUGAUCUCGUUUGACCAAAAUAUUGAUUACGCCAAUAUUAUUUUGAUACAAAUUUAUUUUGCAUUCCAAUUAAUGAAUACUUUCAUCGAUCGUAAAAUUAAAAAAUACUAAAUAUAUUUAAGAUAAUUACGUUUUUAAAAUUAACCAUCUCAAUUCAUCCUAUUUUAUCAAAUCUGGGAUGUGAUAUGGUUUUGAGAGUUACUCAAUUGUGGGUUUGUUAUCACCAGUGCUUGCAGCAUGGUUUCGCUUGAAGUAUCCUCAGAGUCUUUGGGAGCAGUUGCCUCGCCCGCCCCAAUUCUCUACUUUGAUAAUAUCACACCAUCAAACGCAUAUUAUGAUCUUGUCACCAAUGACUUUAGGGUAAGAAACAAAAUUAAUUAAUUAAAAUUCUAUAUAUGUAUGAUUAUGUUUUCUUGUUAAAAUUUAACCAUUGAAUUUUGAAAAUUAAUGAUGCAGGAAGCCAGCGAGAGCUGCUACAUGACCAUCAAACAGUCCUGGGUUGAAAUGGAUAAAACCGCUGCUAGAAAAAAUGGACUUGCUUUUCUCUCUAAAAAGUUCAAAACCUGCAAGAAAUUAAUCAUAUUACUUUACAUAAUUGCUUAUAUAUAUAUCCAUCCGAUUUUCCCUUAAUAACAAUUAAUGCAAUGUUAUUGUAGCAUCAUUAUCGAAUGUACUAUGUCUAAUUAAUUAUCUGUCAUCCUCAGAGUAUAUAUACAUUUCGAUUAACGUGUAAUAUACAAAGUAAAAAUCUGGAUUUGGGCUUAUACACGGCCUUUGCAUUACCAUAUAUAUAGUAUACUGGUGCUUAGAUUCAGCCCUCCAGAGGUUCGUAUUUUACAGAAUCUAAAUUUGAACUACAAAACCACGCACAACUCUAAUUAUCAAAUAAGGCCAAAUUUGUACGUUUGCAUUUGAUAAUAUCAAUAGCUUCAUACUUAUGAAGUUUAUUGUAAUCUAACUAAAUAUAACAACAUUUUUUAGACGGCAUGUUGAAAGAUCUUUUAUAAUGUUACUAACCUUGUGGCACUUAAUUCUAUGUUGUUGUUGUUUAUUUGAUUACAAGCCUCUGAAGGAUGUUUCAGAAUUGAAGGAUUAUUUAGAGUGUAUGUAUACGGGUGCAGCUCAGUAUGAUGAUCCUCAGGAAUAUCCACUGAACAAAGCUUGUGAAGGUAUCGAUGGAGCUUCAGAAGGCACGGAUACCCUAGGCCGGAUAUUCUCAGGAAUUGUUGCUUUAAGAUGGGAGAAUUCUUGCCAUGAUGUUGAUGAAUUCUUAUCCGAUGAAACACUAGACUCGAGCUGGGGCUGGCAGGUAUGUGAUUACGGGUGACAUGAUUUCAUUAGAUACUUCUAUUGAGAUCGUCAAACAAACAUCAUGUUGCGAUGAAUGAAUCUCUCACCUAACAAUACCUAUUUUAUGUACAUCUCUUAAUUUUAUUUAUGAGACUACAUAUUUAUGAAUGAUUAAAAAUAAUUUUCUCCUUUAUUUAGUUAUUUAUUUAUUAUGAUUUUUUUUUUGGGAGGGGCGCCGGGGGGGGGGGGGGGAGGGGAUUUUUCAUGCAGAUAUGCAGUGAAAUGGUCUCAUCGAUUGGAAUUGACAAAAAUAGUACAAUUUUCAAGCAGACGAUAGAAUAUAUGAAUUCAUGCAAUAAGUCUUAUGGAGUGGCUCCAAUACCACAUUGGAUUACAACUUAUUACGACAGUCAUGUAAGUGUCAAUUAAUCCCCAAAUUAAUUCUUUUAAUAAUUUAAUUUUUUUCAUUUUCUUUUUUAAUCAUAAAUUUUAUCUCAAUUUUUGUUCGAUUUUUAUUUCUUUUUAAUUUGCAUGGUAUAAGAGUGGUUGUAAAGAGAUUUGGUAGCAACCUUAUUUUCUCUAAUGGCUUUCGUGAUCCCUAUAGCAGCGCUGGGUAAUUAAGCUUAAGAAUUUUGGACAUUCUUUUCUAUCAAAGUUACCUAUUUAAUUAUAUACCUUUUUCUUUUCUUCUUCUUUUGUUUUUUUUUUCUGAGAUUACAGUGUUCUGGAAGAUAUAUCAGAUAGCAUAAUAGCAGUGAUAACAAAAAAUGGUAUGUAAAUGUUUCUGUAAAAUAAAAAAAUUAGUGUUCAAUUAUUAACUAAAUUAUUGGAUAACAUAAUUAAUAAUGUGUAAAUUAGAGCAGGUUCCCAUUGCUUAGACAUACAGCCAGCAACAGGAGAUGAUCCAGAGUGGUUAGUAAUGCAGCGAGAGAUUGAAGUGGACAUGGUUCAUGAUUGGAUCCUUAAAUACUCUGCAGAUUUGCUUCAAAAUCAGAGCAUAAGAUUAAAUUGGGACUGCAAAAUUAGUUUUUUCUUUUUCUUCCUCUCGUCUAUCUUUCUAAUAUUUAUGGAGCAAAGAUAAAUAAUAGAGCACCUAGCUAGUUUAAGAGUUCAUUUUCAUUAUUCUUAAUCUGGGUUGUCUAAAUGUGUAGAACAAGUGUGCAGUAUUACUUAAUGUAAAGCACAUAUAAAGGGCUCAAUCUUUAUGUAAUAAUCAUAUGGUGAAUAUCAAUUCAUGUACAAUCACAUUGAAUUAACCAUUUUCUCCCUUUGAUUUAGGAGUUACUGUAUAGGUCGUUGAAGCCGGUGACAGUAAAAGAAUUUGCUCUCCAUGUACAUGUAUCUCUCAUUCUCAACCUGUUCCUAUGCUUCUACAUAAUAGCUUCUUUUGUUAAUUAUUUGACAAUCUCAUGCAAUUCCAAACAUGACUUAGAAUCAGUUUGAGAUUCCGGUGGCUAUUGAAAUAAACUACUUCUGUUAUGCAGAUAAAAUAAGCUAAUGAUUAUAAAAAUAGCUCGCUCAGUGUUUGGUAAAUUCAAUUACAAAAGAACUAUUUUAUUAUAUAAUCACUAAAAUAAUUAUAAGUUUAAAUUGUCAUUUAUUUAUAUAUUAGCAUUUAUAAAAAAAGUAAGAUACAAUUAUUCUUUUCUUAGUUAUAAUAAAAACUUUAAAAAAUAUGGCAUUUUAUUUAAUAAGUUGCUUCUAAAAUAAUCCCAUACUUGUUUUAAAAGCUAUUGUCAAAAUAGAGAAAAUAUAAAUUAACUUUUAACAAAUUUACCAAACAUUAUUUUUAUCAAAACUUUAAAAUAAACUGUUUAUAGUAUUUCAACUGUAAUCCCAAAUAGGACAUUAGUCUUUGUUCAAAAUAAGGUUAGACAUUGAAUAUGUGUACACGUAUAAACGAAAAUAUCUAGACUGAAGAAACAUCUCGACUUAAUAAGUCUGCUUCAUUCUUUUUUUUCCACAGCAUAUGUCAAGAGUAAGUUCAAAAUCAUUGCUGACUAGGGGAAGAAGUCUUCAAAGUCAAGGUGAUUAGAUUAGCAGGUCACGAAAUUAUGUAUCGGAGGGGUUCCCUGCCCUCAACUUAAAAAGAUGCCUUAAAAUUAAAUAUUAAAUAAUAUGGCAUUUAUUAAAUUUAAAAAAUAUAAAAAAAUUAAAAGAAAACCUUUUUUUAAGUAAUGUUUGACUAAUGAUUUUGCGUAUCGACUUUGAAUGACCAUGAUAGUAUUUUAAAGAUAAGAAAAGUGGAUUCAAAUGUGGUAUGAUUUAAAAAUAUGGUUAAGAGGUAUGUGAAUAUGAGUAUAAUGAUUGUUUUUGAAAUCAUUAGACAAUACCCUUCCCUCCAGAUACAGUGAUACAGAUAAUAUGAGAUGAGAGGCCAUUGGGGCCCGUCUGAACACACAUAGAGGCUUUGGGCCGUGUGUUUGGGCGCUUUUGCCUUUUGGGGGCAUAUGCAUGCGGUAUGAUGAUUACAGAGAUACAGAUAUGAGAUACAGACAUAUAUUGAGAUACGGAUGAUACAGAUAUGAGAUACAGACAUAUAUUGAGAUACAGAUGAUACAGAUGAGAUACAGGCCUUUGGGGCCCGUCUGAGUACACACAUAGGCCUUGGGCCGUGUGCUUGGGCGUUUUUGUCCUUUGGGGACCAGAUUAUGCAUGCACAGAUAUGAUGAGAUAUGAGAUGGUAUUUUCCUGUCUAUCCGUGUAGCUCCGGGGCGUGACGUUACCCAGAUAGUACGUCAUUGCCCGUCCGUUGAGGUCCGGAUAUGACGAGAUUAUUUCCCUAGGUACUUGUUUGAUGAUGAUUUUCAGAUUUGUGAAUUAUAUAUGAUAUUGUGAUAUGAUUUCCAUGGUUAGUAAUCUGAUUUAAAUGUUUAAUGAUUUAUUUAUGGUUUCUCGCUUAUGGUUUAAUGAAAGCGUGCUUGGAAAUGGUAUGAUGAUUUCUUUUAAAGUAAGAAUUAAUUUUCAAAACUACUAUCCACUCACUGAUCUCACUGAGUUUUAGACUCAUCCCGUUUUUAUUAUAUUUUCCCCCCCUCACCAGGAGGUUGCAGGUACACCAGACCGACCCAGCGACUGUAAAUAUAUUUUGAGUCUUGGCCACGUGAUGAUGUUAGAAGAUAUAACUGUUUUUAUUAGGACAUCUUGGUUAUCUCGUCCUGGUGGGAUUGUAUAAUUUUUGUUAUAUUAUUCUUUUGGGAUUAAGAAUUGAGAUAUUAAUAUUAGUUAUAAUGUUAUCUUUUGAGACUCUAGAGAUAUAAAACUCAGCAUUUUGGUUGAGGAUGUUGACCACUGGAAUUUGUUGUAUAUUGAAUUGUAUUGGGAGUGUUAUAUUCAUAUUUGUAGAUUGGGAGUGUUAUAUAUAUAAAUGAGACUCUAACGAAUUUUCGGCAGAAUCGAAUUAUUAUCAAGUCCGUUUUGAUGAGACUAGAUAGACUUGCCUGGGGGGAUUCGGGGCGGGUCGUUUCACGUCCACUUGGAUCUAUCUGAUAAUCACCUCCUAGGACAUAUCCCUCCAACUCUUGGUCGUCUAAGCAAAUUGAAAAUUUUGAACUUGUCUUUUAACUCCCUUGUCGGUAAUAUCCCAUCCAAUGUAGGUCAUCUAACCCAGCUAACUACUUUGGCUGUUGCCUCAAACCGAAUGAAUGGUUCCAUCCCAUUAGGAAUCGGGAGUUUGAAGGUUCUUCAAGUUCUUGACCUGUCCAUAAAUGAAAUUGGAGGUUCAAUUCCUUCAACACUUUAAAGUGGUUGAGAAGUGUAGACUUGUCCCAAAACAAACUUGUUGGCCCAAUCCCUUCGUCUCUAGGUCAUUUGACUCAGCUAACUACUUUGAAUAUGUACAACAACAAACUUGAUGGGCUAAUUCCUCCAGAACUCAUGAAUUGCUCAAAGUUGAGGAUAUUAAAAUUGGGAAACAACUUGUUAAGCGGAAGCAUUCCGUCACAGAUCGGCAAACUUCAAGAACUAUAUUAUCUUGAUCUAAGCGGUAACUUCAUUAAUGGUAAAAUACCUUCCCAACUUGGAGAAUUUCCACUCAUAAACACCAUGGACCUUUCCAUGAAUAACCUUUCCUGUGGAAUCCCUGUAUUUAUCAGAAAAGUGCCACACUUAGAUGUGUCAGGCAAUAAAUUCGGAGUAGAAAUCCCAACUACUUUGGUAAAUGCGCCACCGCCACAUCACAAAAAGAUUGCCACUCGCUUGGUUGCAAUUAUUCUUGCUAUAGUCGCAUUCCCUGCCUUGAUAUUUGGAAUCUUGAUUAUCCGUAGACAAAGGGAUAAAGAAGUUGAACCAGCUGGGACAGGAGAAAUUACCAAGUGCGCUGAUGAGUUUGCAAUUUGGAAUUACGAUGGUAGAAUUACAUUUCAAGACAUGAUUGACGCCACUGAGGAUUUCGAUAUCAAAUACUGCAUUGGAACGGGAGGCUACAGCAGCGUUUACAGGGCACGACUGCCCAGUGGAAAAGUAGUUGCUUUGAAGAAGAUUCACCGUUCAGAAACUGAGGAGUUAGCUUCCCUGGAGAGUUUCCGGAAUGAGGCUCGUCUACUGUCCCAAAUACGGCAUCGAAAUAUCGUAAAGCUUUACGGCUUUUGUUUGCACGAGAAAUGCAUGUUCUUAAUCUAUGAGUACAUGGAAAUGGGAAGCUUGUUCUGUGCUCUACGCACAGAUGAGGAAGCUGUUGGGUUGGAUUGGACUAAAAGGGUGAACAUUGUGAAGGGUAUGGCUCAUGCUUUGUCAUACUUGCAUCAUCACUGCACACCACCAAUUGUUCACCGGGACAUAUUAAGCAACAACAUUCUACUCAACUCAGAAUUAGAAGCAUUUGUUGUGGACUUUGGCAUUGCUAGAUUGUUAAAUUUCGACUCAUCCAACCGAACUAUGUUAGCUGGCACUUUCGGAUAAAUUGCUCCAGGUCCUCCUCUAGCUAUUCCUCUUAUGCUUCUUUAAUUAUCCUCUUAAUUAAUUUUUAUUUGUACUCUGCCAAGUAGUUUUUAAGCAGCUUUAUUUAGGUCGCUACUUGGUUCGAAUUUUGAAAAAGCUAAGGGGCUAAAAAUAAAUUUGACUUUGCCUACCCCUUUACUUUUAAAACACACACACUCUGAACAUAAGUUAAAACAUAAGUUUCUUUGUCAUAACUUGCUGCGGAAGCUAAAAAACAUGAACAAAUUGUUCUUGUUAUUAUUUAUGGAAACAUUACUAAUGAAGGCCUUUGUUUCCUAUAGAACUUGCCUACACCAUGGUUGUGACAGAGAAAUGUGAUGUUUAUAGUUUUGGAGUGGUGGCACUAGAAGUACUAAUGGGAAGGCAUCCAGAAGCGCUCCUCUCAUCGUCAUCUUCAUCAUUGGAUAAAAAUAUAAAGCUGAUUGAUUUGCUGGACCCCCGCCUCUCACCUCCGGUGGAUCAAAAGAUUAGGCAGGAUAUCAUUCUUGUUUCAACAGUAGCAUUUUCAUGCUUGCGUUCGCAACCAAAGUCUCGACCUACAAUGCAACUCGUGUCCAACGAAUUUAUCGCUCGCAAUAAGGCACCGAUGCAGAAACCUUUUCAUGAAAUUUCAAUUUUGGAGCUUAGAAACCAAGAAAUGUAUGUGGUUGAUUAAUGUGAUUUUUCCAAUAAAGGAGACUGUUAAUUGGUUGUGAAAUUAUUAGGUAGUAGUAAUGUAGCAAAUAUUAUGUGUUCGACGAAUUGUCUGCCUUAGUAUUUUUUAAUUCCAUUCACACUACGACAUUAAUCUCCUUUGUAAAGCUAGUACUUUCGCAGUUCACUCUGAUAAAAUAUGGUUUGUCUAAUUGUCUCCAUCUCAAUGAUCUGAAUUAACCAGCAUAUUAAGGAAUUUAAGGUUGUGUCUCUACAAGUUAAAAAGGGUAAAUUGUCAUUCUAAUUAUUAGUUUGUUUUACAAAUUAUAUAUAAAAAUUUCAUUCAGAACGAAGUUAUUGAUGUCGCGUUAUUUAAUAUAUUAGUUUUUUCACUCCUUUGUAAAUAUUCACACAAACAUAUACAAUAAAAUUUUAAUUUAGCCGAUCCGAUCAAACAUCCUGGACCCACCGCUGAUGUCAUCCGAAGGUGAGGAAGCUUCUGCAGAAGUUGUGGUUAGUGAUAUUCUUGCCAGCACAAGAUAAUUAAUUACUAGGAAAGAAAUAAUAAAAAAUUUUAUUAAUUACGAAACUGAUGACUAUAUAUUAGACACACUAUAAUUUUAUGAAAACUGAAGAUUCAUACUAAUAUAAAACUAAAAGCAACAUUAAUUAUAUUAUACGAUAACAACAAAUCCAGGAUAUAUUAACAAACACGUCGAUUUUGAAGCUGAAUUUAUAAUCUAAUCUUAACUCUAUUUCUUCUGUAUUUACAUAAUCAUCCUGCUAAUUAAGGAUUUACAACUUUGCCAUGAAAGGUCGGUGGCUCCAUCUUCAAAUCUCUAAGUAGUUUUUCCUUGGCCUUGUGCUUCUUGCCUUGGAGAUGCACGUCUAGACCUCUCUCGGUAGUAGCAGUGACCUGACAGAGGGCACAACUCCACUCCUUGGGUUUGCUUGAACUCGUUGAAGGAAGCUCUCUAGAACCUGCAGGUGGUGUGCCAGCUUUCUGCUUUGAUCCACAAACACUGGUAUCAGGCUUAGGCUGGAAAUGAUACCCAAACACAGAAACCACAAUGCCUUAUAUUAGUUAUCACAUCAAUGGUAAAAAUGAAAAAUAUUUCCAGUGAACUCCAUCAUCUGCUAUUGCAGUACAGAUGAAAGAAUUUGUUUACAAAAUGAUAAUGUGCAAAUUUUAUUUUAAAUUGUGAAUUCUCAAGAAAGGUAGGAAUGUAGAAGUAUAUUCAAAUAGUUAAUACAACCAGAAUCCUUGUUUAUUAAUAACAUUUCCAGCAUUGAACUAGGAAAAUAUCUCCAUCCCAAAAAAGAAAAAAAAAAGGAAUAUGUUUGAAUAGGAUUACGAAAUACUUUCUUAAUAAGCUGGACAAGGAGAGAUGAUAUCUUAUGAGCAUUAUAAUUCAUAAUUUGAGGAAAAACCAUUUUAAUGGAGCUUCCAGCCCAUCGCACAUACACAAACACAAUCAAUAAGAUUUAACAUAAGAAAUUACCGGGAAAAAGAAACAUCACAAAUCAAUCUGUACAAGUUCAUGUGACACUUCAUGGUAAACAUAUGUAACCUCUCUUGGAAACUUAGCUUGUGACAAGCUCACAUUUUCUCUGUGUUUUCGUUCAAAAAAGGCUUCAGACACACAUUAAUUCCAGGCUGUGGAGGAUCAUAUGUCCUCAUUGCCCAAAUUUUUAAAGCCACAUACAUUGGCAUUUGCACGCAUGGUCAAUGAGUUACACAACUCUGUUGUCUACUUGAGUUGACCAAGCAAACUGAAUUUGUGAACUUUGACCGACAUAAAUAACCCAAUGCUAACAUGUUUGGAAUUAAAUCAAGAUUGUGAGUCCAAAUGUACUCCCCGACAAACUUGUCACCUGUGCAUCAAGACAAAGUCUUAUAGCACUAAGAAUGAACAUGUGAACCUCUAAGCAACAACCUCCUAAUAACAUAAAAAUCAAGGUUGGUGUGGGAUAAAGCCAUUCAAAUGGACAUGUAAAGGGUAACUUUGAUGAAUAAGGGUUUAAGAGAAACAAUCUUAUCACAGAGUAUUUCAAUUGGAGCGGAUGAAGAAACUAACAUGAAACAAACUCACUUAUCUCUAUUUAUUUUUCAAUUUUCAUAGAUCCAAAAUCUAAAAUUAUCAUUUUGAGCUACCCUCAAUUAGUAAGCACUGCAUUGUCACUGCUUUCUUCUGAAAUUUUCCAUCAGCAGAAAAUCUCUAACAAAUCAAAACAAGACUUACCAAGUUUCAUAAGUAUCAAAACAAAAACGAGCAAAGGUCCACAGGGAAGUUCUAGAAUGAAAAAUACUAAUGACGUUGUUACAGUGAAUCUCAGGGUCCAUUUUUCGUGAGGUUAAUGAUUGCAUUCUGGGUUGUGUUGCUAUCAGUCUUUAGUGUUCAUUCAUCUUUUUAUGGUAAGUUGCAUGCAUUUGUUUUGUCUUCAGAGGUUAUGGUGUCAAAUUGAGCGGACACACGUUUGGCUUAUAGAUGAUAUGACCCUGAAACUAUGUCGCAGCUGUUGCUUGUUUUCAGCAUUCUAAUCAUUCACCAACUUGGGAUCUUCAAGUCCGUUGGUGGAAUUAUUUGCACCAUCCAAGUCUUGACGUGCACCCCUUGAUUAUACUCGGUGGGAUAAAUUUUGCACUUAUUUAAAAAAAAUAAAUAAAUAAAGAAUCCCCUGUGGGGAAGUCAAAAUGCAAACACGAAUUGAUUAGUGAAGAGGACACAGUAAUUUGACACGAUAAUUAAUCAUCUCGUUAUGAUGUGUUAGUGUCUAAUUCACAAAUUCGGGUAAUAACCGUCUUAUGAAGUGUCUAAUUUUAUUGCUCCGUUAAUAAAGUGUACUUGGGCUAGCUACGUUACCCCAGCGGUUGGAUUUCCAUUGCUUCCAAUGAGUCAAUACAAAGGCUUAUAGCAUUAGCAUGAUUAACAUAUAUUGCAGCAUCGUAAACAAUGAUUGGAAUCCUGAGAUCUUUGGUAACAUGAUUAUAGACAAUUACGACCAUGUUUGGAUAGCUUAGUUUAAAAAUUACAACAUUAAAAUAUCAGGUAAAUAUUAGUUGUUGUAACUAAAAAAAAUUAUUAUAUUUUUUAUUUUACACUUAUAUGAUAAAAAAUUUAUUUUUUUUAUUGAUUUUGUCAAAAUUAUUAUUUAAAAAUUAUAUAUUCACUGCAUACUAAAUUAAGUUAAUUACUAGGAAAUAAUUAAUUACAAGUUAAUUAAAUUAGAAAUAUGUGUCCAACCAUUAAAACUACGUAUAUCAAGUUAGUUAAUUACUAAGGAAAGAAUUAAUAACAAAUUUUCAUCGCUACGUAUUUAAUUACGAAACUGAUAACUAUAUAUUAGAAAAACUAUAAUUUUAUGAAAACUAAAGAUCAUUACUAAUAUAAAACUAAAACCAACAAUAAUUAUAUGAUAGGAUAACAACAAAUCCAGAAUAGAUUAACAAACACGUCGAUUCUGAAGCUGAAUUUAUAACCGAAUCUUAAUUCUAUUUCUUCUGUAUUUACAUAAUCAUCCUGCUAAUUAAAGAUUUACAACUUUGCCGUGGAAGGUCGGUGGCUUCCAUGCCUUUUUUCUUCUUCUCCUCACAAAUUUUGCUUUUGCUUCCACUUUACCAUUAAAGAACAUCCCAAAGCUUGGUGUUGUGCGUGGAAGGACUAUUUUUCUAAACCCUAGUAAAAAAAUAUCAACUUCAGAACCAGAGGGUGAUCUCGAAACUUAAUAUUAUGAUCAAAUACUUGAUCACUUUAACUAUUAUCCACAAAGUUAUUUAACUUUUCCUCAUAGAUAUGCGUUGAACUUCAAGCAUUGGGGCGGUGGCAGACCCAUGGCGGCGCCGAUAUUGGCAUAUCUUGGUGAAGAGAGUAGUCUUAAUAUGAUGACCUUGGUGGCAUUGGAUGGCUUACUGAUAAUGCUCAUCGAUUUAAAGCCUUACAAGUUUACAUAGAGGUAAGUAAAGAAUUUGUUAUCAGGCUAGCUUGAUAAUAAUUGAAAUAGAGUUCGCAUACGAAAUAAUAAUAAUAAAGACAAAUCCUAAUCAGAAUAUUCUACAAUAUGAACUAAAAAGUUGUGAUGGAUUUUUUUUUAAUUCAAUUUUUUAUGCAGUAUCGGUUCUAUGGAAAAUCAGUACCUUUUGUAUCAAGCAAAGAUGCCCUAAAGAAUGCAACUCUUCGUGGAUAUUUCAACUCUGGUCAAGCUUUGGCACAUUAUGCAAAGAUUCUCUUACACAUCAAGGAAAAUUUAUCGGCCGAAAUGUCUCCCAUUAUCGUUGUUGGAGCAUCUUAUAGAGGAAGUAAAUUUUAAUAUUAUUAACUUACUUACAUCUUUUGAUUAAUGUCGUGUCAUUUGUUGCAUCAUUUUAUUCAUUUUGAUCUCGUUUGACCAAAAUAUUGAUUACGCCAAUAUUAUUUUGAUACAAAUUUAUUUUGCAUUCCAAUUAAUGAAUACUUUCAGCGAUCGUAAAAUUAAGAAAUAGUAAACAUAUUUAAGAUAAUUACGUUUUUAAAAAUAACCAUCUCAAUUCAUCCUAUUUUAUCAGAUCUGGGUAGGGAUGGCAAUGGGGUGGGGUGGGGGUGGGGAGGCCUACCUCAUUCCCCACCCCAUUCCCCAAUAAAUUUAGUGGGGUGGGGAUGGAGAAUCCCCAUGUGGGGAAUGAUUUCCCCAUCCCCACCCCAUUCCCCAUUUAUCUAUUUUAUAAUAUGUAUAAAUAUAUUAUUUUAGUAAGUUAAAAAUUAGAGACUUAAAAUAAAAUCAUCAUCAUAUUAUAAAGUAUUUAAAUUCUUUUAAAAAAAUAUCUAAAAAUUUGAAACAAUAUCUUAAAAUGAUAUUAAAAGUGAAAAAUAUUUAAAGAGCGUAACACCUUAAAAGAGAAAAGAAAAUAUAACAAUGUUUCAGAGUUGAAAAAUAUUAUAGGAUUUUCUUUCAUUCAUAUCUUGUUUAUGUUGCAUAAAAAUUAAAAAAAAUUAUUAAUUGACAUUAUAAUUGAUAAAAUAAAAAUUAUUAAAUAAGAAUUAAAAAUAUAUUUAUAUAUAAUGGGGAUUGGGAUUGGGGUGGGGGUGGGGUGGGGAGUAUAAAACCAAACCCCACCCCAUUAAGAAUUUGGGGAUUAUUUUCUCCCCACUCCCCACCCCAUUCCCCAAAAAUUAUUCAAAAUUUUUUCCAUUUGGGGUGGGGCUCCAUAGGACCCCAAACCCGUGGAGAAUUUUGCCAUCCCUAGAUCUGGGAUGUGAUAUGGUUUUGAGAGUUACUCAUUUGUGGGUUUGUUAUCACCAGUGCUUGCAGCAUGGUUUCGCUUUCCUCACAGUGCUUUGGGAGCAGUUGCCUCGUCCGCCCCAAUUAUCUAGUUUGAUAAUAUCACACCCUCAAACGCAUAUUAUGAUCUUGUCACCAAUGACUUUAGGGUAAGAAAUAAAAUUAAUUAAUUAAAAUUCUAUAUAUGUAUGAUUGUGUUUUCUUGUUAAAAUUUAACCAUUAAAUUUUGAAAAUUAAUGAUGCAAGAAGCCAGGGAGAGCUGCUACAUGACCAUCAAACAGUCCUGGGCUGAAAUGGAUAAAACCGCUGCUAGAAAAAAUGGACUUGCUUCUCUCUCUAAAAAGUUCAAAACCUGCAAGAAAUUAAUCAUAUUACUUUACAUAACUGCUUAUAUAUAUCCAUCCGAUUUUCCCUUAAGUACAAUUAAUGCAAUGUUAUUGUAGCAUCAUUAUCGAAUGUACUAUGUCUAAUUAAUUAUCUGACAUUCUCAGAGUAUAUAUACAUUUCGAUUAACGUGUAAUAUACAAAGUAAAAAUCUGGAUUUGGGCUUAUACACGGCCUUUGCAUUACCCCAUAUAUAGUAUACUGGUGCUUCGAUUCAGCCCUCCAGAGGUUCGUAUUUUACAGAAUCUAAAUUUGAACUACAAAACCACGCACAACUCUGAUUAUCAAAUAAGGCCAAAUUUGUACGUUUGCAUUUGAUAAUAUCAAUAGCUUCAUACUUAUAAAGUUUAUUGUAAUCUAACUAAAUAUAACAACAUUUUUUAGACGGCAUGUUGAAAGAUCUUUUAUAAUGUUACUAACCUUGUGGCACUUAAUUCUAUGUUGUUGUUGUUGUUUAUUUGAUUACAAGCCUCUGAAGGAUGUUUCAGAAUUGAAGGAUUAUUUAGAGUGUAUGUAUACGGGUGCAGCUCAGUAUGAUGAUCCUCAGGAAUAUCCAGUGAACAAAGCUUGUGAAGGUAUCGAUGGAGCUUCAGAAGGCACGGAUACCCUAGGCUGGAUAUUCUCAGGAAUUGUUGCUUUAAGAGGGGAGAAUUCUUGCCAUGAUGUUGAUGAAUUCUUAUCCGAUGAAACACUAGACUCGAGCUGGGGCUGGCAGGUAUGUGAUUACGGGUGACAUGAUUUCAUUAGAUACUUCUAUUGAGAUCGUCAAACAAACAACAUGUUGCGAUGAAUGAAUCUCUCACCUAACAAUACCUAUUUUAUGUACAUCUCUUAAUUUUAUUUAUGAGACUACAUAUUUAUGAAUGAUUAAAAAUAGUUUUCUCCUUUAUUUAGUUAUUUAUUUAUUAUGAUUCUUUUUUUGUUUUGGGAGGGGCGGGGAGGGGGGGGGUUUCUCAUGCAGACAUGCAGUGAAAUGGUCUCAUCGAUUGGAAUUGACAAAAAUAAUACAAUUUUCAAGCAGACGAUAGAAUAUAUGAAUUCAUGCAAUAAGUCUUAUGGAGUGGCUACAAUACCACAUUGGAUUACAACUUAUUACGGCAGUCAUGUAAGUGUCAAUUAAUCCCCAAAUUAAUUCUUUUAAUAAUUUAAUUUUUUUCAUUUUCUUUUUUAAUUAUAAAUUUUAUCUCAAUUUUUGUUCGAUUUUUAUUUCUUUUUAAUUUGCAUGGUAUAAGAGUGGUUGUAAAGAGAUUUGGUAGCAACCUUAUUUUCUCUAAUGGCUUUCGUGAUCCCUAUAGCAGCGCUGGGUAAUUAAGCUUAAGAAUUUUGGACAUUCUUUUCUAUCAAAGUUACCUAUUUAAUUAUAUACCUUUUUCUUUUUCUUUUGUUUUUUUUUUUUUUUUUGAGAUUACAGUGUUCUGGAAGAUAUAUCAGAUAGCAUAAUAGCAGUGAUAACAAAAAAUGGUAUGUAAAUGUUUCUGUAAAAUAAAAAAAUUAGUGUUCAAUUGUUUGAGGGAAAUACUCCGACGAGACCAGACGUGAUGAGCAGAUGUUUGGUGGCAGAAGUCUGCGAGCAGGUGUGUCCUGUAAGAGCCAGGUAGCAGGGGAACAGGGGCAGGAAUAUCCUGCUCAUCCACGAGCACGUCAUCCGCGAGGCCAAUUUCCUGUAAGAAGCAUAAAGCCAUUCCUGCUGUAUUCUUGCUAAGGGUUGAUUCGAGGAGACCCGGUCAAUGACAGUUGGCGAGGCAUGCUCUCCAGCCCGAGAAUCUAGGCACGAAGGCCACGCAACCACCCACGACUACGGAAAUGGGGAAUCCACGUUCGAGAGGUGGGAGGAUAACGGGCGUAGACUGCGAAAAACUGGGAUUCAGAGGAAGCCUAUAAAAAGGUAGCCAAUGAAGGUAAAGGGGUUAGCAAUUUUGAGAUUAGAAGGGAGAUAAAGAAAUUCUAAAGAAGAGAAAACUACCCAAAAGCCAUAAGAUCUGUGACAAGCGUUCCCCGAACCUUAAUAUCUGACUUGAGCGUCAGAGGGUUUGCACCGGGAAAACAACCGGCGUACUCUGACUUGUCUGUGUGUGCAGGAACCUCUGGAGAAGAAGCUUUACGAGGAGAGAUCCUGGUCGUGGUGAAGUUGAUCGAGCAGAGACCCUGGUCGUAGAACGAGGAGAACCAGAAUCUCGCAUCAACAUUUUGGCACCGUCUGUGGGGAGCUGAUCAAAAAGCUUAUGUUGAUAGCAAGAAGAGGAGUGAAGUAAGUGAAAAGCGAUGGAAACAGGGGAAGCAAUGCAGAUAACAUCCCUCGAUACCCGAGUGGAAAACAAGAAUGGCAGACAAGAACCUGUAGAGGAUCUGGAAACUGUAAGCCUAGGACCAGAGAAUCCGGGAAAGACAAUCAGAAUCGGGUCGAGACUUAAGGGAGAGCAAAAGCAGGAGUUGGUGAAAUGCUUACAGGCUCAUGCAGAUGUGUUUGCUUGGACACAUGAAGACAUGCCAGGGAUUGACCCUGAGGUAGCAUGUCAUAAGCUGGCAGUAAAGAAAGGUGCUCGGACAGUAAGGUAGAAGAGGAGGUGCUUCAACCAGGAGAGGUAUGAGGCUAUAAAUGGCGAGGUGGAGAAGCUCUUGAGAGCAGGGUUCAUUCGGGAAGUCAAUUACCCUGAAUGGAUAUCGAAUGUGGUGUUGGUAAAGAAAGCGAAUGGCAAGUGGAGGAUGUGUGUGGAUUUCACAGACCUCAAUAAGGCGUGCCCAAAGGACAGCUUCCCUUUGCCAAAGAUCGAUCAGCUAGUAGAUUCAACGGCUGGACACGCUCUGCCUAGCUUCAUGGACGCGUUCUCGGGAUACAACCAGAUCCCCAUGUACGAGCAGGACGAGGAGAGCACGGCUUUCAUCACUAACCAGGGUUUGUUCUAUUACAGGGUAAUGCCAUUUGGUCUCAAAAAUACUGGGGCCACCUAUCAGAGGAUGGUGAACAAAGUCUUUAAGCCGUUGAUUGGGAAAACCAUGGAGGUGUACGUGGAUGACAUGAUCACCAAGUCCAAAAUCCCGAAGGAACAUGUCAGACACCUCGAGGAGACAUUUGAGCUUUUGAGGAAGUAUAAGAUGAAGCUCAACCCGGAGAAAUGUGCUUUUGGGGUCGAGUCGGGGAAGUUCCUUGGAUUCAUGGUGAGUCAUCGGGGGAUCGAAGCAAAUCCCGAGAAGAUCUAGGCGAUCGUGCAGAUGAGGUCUCCUCGUAGCCUGAAGGAAAUACAAAGCCUUACGGGGAGAUUGGCGGCAUUAAGCCGGUUCAUAUCCAAGGCUACAGAUAAGUGUCAACCAUUCUUUCAAGUGAUAAGGAGGGGAAAGAAAACAGAGUGGACCCCGGAAUGCGAGGAAGCCUUUCAGAACUUGAAGCAGUAUUUACAGCAAGCCCCUCUGCUAUCCACACCGAGGGAUGGGGACAAGUUAUUUUUGUAUCUGGCGAUAUCGGAUCGGGCCGCCAGUUCUGUUCUGGUGAGAGAGGAAGAAGGAGUUCAGUAUCCACUAUACUACACCAGCAAGGCCCUGCUCGACGCUGAGACCAGAUACCCACCGUUGGAGAAAUGGGCACUUGCCCUUGUGGUUGCUGCUCGGAAGUUGAGGCCAUAUUUUCAGGCAUUCCCAGUCUCGGUUAUAACAAACCAGCCAUUGCGUCAAACUCUGCACAAGCCCGAUGCUUCUGGUUGGCUCGUCAAGUGGGCUAUAGAGCUGAGCGAGUUCGACAUAGACUACAAACCCCGAGCAGCGAUAAGGGCUCAAGCAAUGGCCAAUUUCGUAGCAGAAUUCACAGAGCCUGAAGUAUGUUUAGACCAACAAGAUGUAGUUGCAGACAAUGGCGAAGCUCAAGUAUGGCAAAUGUCUGUAGAUGGGUCAUCAGGGGAGCAGGGAUUGUAUUGGAAGGCCCGGAGGGGGAGGAGAUCUCUUAUGCUGUAAAGUUAGAAUUCACAGCAACAAAUAACCAGGCAGAGUAUGAAGCCUUGAUAGCAGGAUUGGAACUGGCUAAGGCCGUGAGAGCAGAUAGAGUGAAGAUCAGAACUGAUUCCCAGCUGGUUGCGAAUCAUGUCAGUGAAAGAUUCCAACCAAGAGAGAAGAAGAUGGAGCAGUACUUGAAGAUAGUCAGGCAGAUGAUGGGAAAAUUCGAAGCGGUGGAAGUAGUACAAAUCCCAAGGGAGCAGAAUAGUCGAGCCGAUAUUUUGGCCAGGAUGGCAGCGGUAGCAGACCCAAAAAUGCCAAAGUCGAUCCCUCUAGAGGUGAAGUCCAGCCCGAGCAUCGAGCCGAAUUCAGGGGUACUGCGGAUAGAACAAAAAUGCUCGUGGAUGGACCCGAUAGUUUCAUACCUUAGAGACGGGGUAUUACCACCAGAUAAGCUGCGAGCUCGGAAGAUUAGAGCCCAGGCCUCGAGAUACACGAUGAUUGAUGGGAUACUGUAUCGGCGAGGAUAUACACUACCUUUCCUUCGAUGUUUGGAUGAGGACGACGCGGAUUACGUCCUGAGAGAAGUACAUGAAGGAAUUUGCGGGAAUCAUUCUGGUGGGAGAUCCCUGGCCCACAAGGUUCUAAGGCAGGGAUAUUUCUGGCCGACAAUGCACCAGGAUGCACAGGAGAAGACCAAGAGCUGUGUAAGCUGCCAGAGUUUUGCAAGUUUCCCCAACCAACCACCAGAGAAGCUCACCUCUAUGGCCUCCCCUUGGCCAUUUGCUCAAUGGGGAAUUGAUCUGAUCGGCCCGCUGCCAAAGGGACGAGGAGCAGCAACGCAUGCAAUAGUUGCUAUAGAUUACUUCACGAAGUGGAUAGAGGUCGAAGCCCUUAGUAGGAUUACAGAGAAGAAAACGACAGACUUUGUGUGGAGAAACCUGGUCUGUCGAUACGGGAUCCCUUAUGCCUUGGUAACGGAUAAUGGCAGGCAGUUCGAUAAUCACAGCUUCAGGGAUUUCUGCCAGAACCUCGGGAUAGAGCUGAAGUAUUGCUCGCCUGCUCACCCUCAAUCGAAUGGACAAGUAGAAGCAGCCAACAAGACCAUCAAGAGACUUUUGAAAACCAGGCUUGGAGCAAAAAAUGGUACAUGGGUUGAUGAGCUGUCAGGUGUCCUAUGGGCAUACAGGACAACCCACAAAACAGCAACUGGGGAGACACCGUUCGCCCUGGCUUUCGGACAUGAAGCGGUCGUACCAGCUGAGAUAGGAACGACCACGCACCGGACAGACCAUUUCAAUGAGCAGGAGAACGACGAGCAGAUGUGUUUGAAUAUUGAUCUGCUAACGAAGAAGAGGGAGCAAGCAGCUGGUCGAUCAGCCAUUUACCAGCAAAGGGUUGCUCGUUAUUAUAACCAGAAGGUGAAUGUACGGCAAUUCAAGGUCGGAGACUGGGUACUGAGAAGAGUGAAUCAGAGCACCAAAGAUUCGACUCAAGGAGUGCUGGGACCGAAUUGGGAAGGGCCAUAUAGAGUCAAGCAGAUAGUGGGACCCGGAGCUUACAAGCUGGUUCGCACAGACGGCCACGAGGUGAAACGCCCAUGGAACGCAGCACACCUCCGAAAAUACUUCCAGUAAGACUUGUUCACAUUUGAAAGCUAUUUCUGCUCGUGUUCAUUAUCGUUUAUCUUUUAUGUUUUAUAUCCAAACAAUUUCAUGUAAGUCGAAUCCUGCCAUUAAUGGAACGUCGAGGAAUUUCAUUCGCUUGAAACUGUGAAAAUUUCCUAAGGCAUGCAAAGGCUCGUCAAGUCUCAAAGCCUGUUUAUGGCGAGACCAGAAGCCAAGCGUGCCAAGAUCUGCUCGGCCACGAGAAGGCGAGCAAAAUCCCAAGCUUUGAAGAAAUUGCCUAAGGCAUGCAAAGGCUCGACAAAGUCUCAAAGCCUGUUUAUGGCGAGACCAGAAGCCAAGCGUGCCAGGAUCUGCUCGGCCACGAGAAGACGAGCAGAAUCCCAAGCUUUGAAGAAAUUGCCUAAGGCAUGCAAAGGCUCGACAAAGUCUCAAAGCCUGUUUAUGGCGAGACCAGAAGCCAAGCGUGCCAGGAUCUGCUCGGCCACGAGAAGGCGAGCAGAAUCCCAAGCUUUGAAGAAAUUAUCUAAGGCAUGCAAAGGCUCGACAAAGUCUCAAAUCCUGUUUAUGGCGAGACCAGAAGCCAAGCGUGCCAGGAUGUGCUUGGCCACAAGAAGGCGAGCAGAAUCCCAAGCUUUGAAGAAAUUACCUAAGGCAUGCAAAGGCUCGUCAAGUCUCAAAGCCUGUUUAUGGCGAGACCAGAAGCCAAGCGUGCCAGGAUCUGCUCGGCCACGAGAAGGCGAGCAGAAUCCCAAGCUUUGAAGAAAUUACCUAAGGCAUGCAAAGGCUCGACAAAGUCUCAAAGCCUGUUUAUGGCGAGACCAGAAGCCAAGCGUGCCAGGAUCUGCUCGGCCACGAGAAGGCGAGCAGAAUCCCAAGCUUUGAAGAAAUUACCUAAGGCAUGCAAAGGCUCGACAAAGUCUCAAAGCCUGUUUAUGGCGAGACCAGAUGCCAAGCGUGCCAGGAUCUGCUCGGCCACGAGAAGGCGAGCAGAAUCCCAAGCUUUGAAGAAAUUGCCUAAGGCAUGCAAAGACUCGACAAAGUCUCAAAGCCUGUUUAUGGCGAGACCAGAAGCCAAGCGUGCCAGGAUCUGCUCGGCCACGAGAAGGCGAGCAGAAUCCCAAGCUUUGAAGAAAUUACGUAAGGCAUGCAAAGGCUCGACAAGUCUCAAAGCCUGUUUAUGGCGAGACCAGAAGCCAAGCGUGCCAAGAUUGGCUCGGCCACGAGAAGGCGAGCAGAAUCCCAAGCAUUGAAGAAUCUUCCAAGGCAUGUGGCAAAACCAUAUACCAAGCCAGAGCCUGCUCGAGCGGACGAAGACGAGCAGAUUCUCAAGCGGAAAAAUAACUCGUAAUUACAAUACAAGAGAGUAAUAAAAAACAUUUCUAUUAAUUUGUUAAUAAUUAACAAAGCAGAUAAUCUUCACAAAUAUUGUUCGUUACAAUACAAGAAACAUAUUUAAGAAGACGGUGGGUCCGCAAGCCGAGCAGCCUCAGUUAGCUGGUCCACCUCAGGUGCUGGGGGAGUAUCUCCAGUUGCGUCUGGGGGGGUACUCGCCUCACCAGCAUCAGCAGGGAUUACACCGGGAGGAGAGUUUUCCUCCUCUAUCACCAUUGGUGCCACCUCUUCGGCAUCCUCCUUUGCAGCCUCCUCGUCCAUAUGUUGGGCGACACCAGCUGCAAGGUCGUCCGUCUUUAGAUCAGGAUGCUGCUUCCCGAGGACGGCCAUGAUGCAACGAUAAGAAUGCCGAAGUCCCUAGUCGUACUGGUUGUCGGCCUCCUUUUCCAAGUUCUCGACCCGAGCUCGGUGGGAAUCGCGAAGAGAUUCGAGCUGAGCCUCAUACAUAGCCUUCUGCCUUUGAAGAUCCUCCUUGACCUUGGCCAGCUCUUCCUCGAGAGUAAUAGCCUUGGCUUGAGCAAGAGAUUCUCGCUCAAUCAACUUCAGAUUCUCGAGGUUUAAGUCCCCUGCUUUCUUCUCAGCAACGUCAGCUCUGGUCGUCGCCGACUGAAUGUCCUCCUUCAUCUUCCUAUCAUAACGGCCAACCUUGGCCUUAUAGUAGGUGGUCAUGCAGCUGAGAUGGAAAGCGCUAUACUGCAUGGCCCCCACCAGCUCGCCUAAGGUGCAGCCAUCAAAGUCCUCGAGGUCCUCCUUGCUCACAAGUUUGGAAAGCUCGUUGAGAUAGGGGGCCAAGUGUUCUGCUCAGCUGUCAGGUAAACGAGAUCUAUGCCCGACAGGAGGCGAAGAGGAAGCAGGAUCAGUGGCUGCUCCACUGGUCUCGCCGAGUUUGGCAGAAGGAGGAGGUAAAGUCUUCAACGGAGAGACCUGCUGCACGAUGUUGGCCCGCUUUGCAGUAGGGGCAUCCCUGUUCUGGUCCCUCUUCGUGGUUUGGGGUCGAGAACGUUUCCUGUUUAGAGCCCCAAUCACGGCGUCCUCCAUCUUAUGGCCAGGAAGUACCAAGCGAGACUCAAGCAAGUUGUAAGUAGUUAGCAGUUCUCGGCUCGAGCAGGAAUUGGCGAGUACAGCCUCGACCCAUUUGAGCUGGUUAGGUUGGAGCGGGAAGUGAACACCCCAAGAAACUACAACACAAACAGACACUUGGUUAGAGACAAGCCAAUAAAGCAAGAACAAUUAUGGAUACAAGACAUCUAAAGCGAGCAGGCAACCUGGGACCGUGAAACGGGGUGGGACGCGACAAUCCUUCCCGUCUAUUUGUGCAACUUGACCCCAAGGACCCCCAGCAAAAAAGAAUUUCCUUUUCCAGUCCCACACAACCAAGAACCGCUAAGUUUCUACUGCUGGUCCAUUACAUUACCCAACACCAGAAACUGGGGGACCGGUGUUUGAGGGAAAUACUCCGACGAGACCAGACGUGAUGAGCAGAUGUUUGGUGGCAGAAGUCUGCGAGCAGGUGUGUCCUGUAAGAGCCAGGUAGCAGGGGAACAGGGGCAGGAAUAUCCUGCUCAUCCACGAGCACGUCAUCCGCGAGGCCAAUUUCCUGUAAGAAGCAUAAAGCCAUUCUUGCUGUAUUCUUGCUAAGGGUUGAUUCGAGGAGACCCGGUCAACGACAGUUGGCGAGGCAUGCUCUCCAGCCCGAGAAUCUAGGCACAAAGGCCACGCAACCACCCACGACUACGGAAAUGGGGAAUCCACGUUCGAGAGGUGGGAGGAUAACGGGCGUAGACUGCGAAAAACUGGGAUUCAGAGGAAGCCUAUAAAAAGGUAGCCAACGAAGGUAAAGGGGUUAGCAAUUUUGAGAUUAGAAGGGAGAUAAAGAAAUUCUAAAGAAGAGAAAACUACCCAAAAGCCAUAAGAUCUGUGGCAAGCGUUCCCCGAACCUUCAUAUCUGACUUGAGCAUCGGAGGGUUUGCGCCGGGAAAACAACCGGCGUACUCUGACUUGUCUGUGUGUGCAGGAACCUCUGGAGAAGAAGCUUUACGAGGAGAGAUCCUGGUCGUGGUGAAGUUGAUCGAGCAGAGACCCUGGUCGUAGAACGAGGAGAACCAGAAUCUCGCAUCAACAUCAAUUAUUAACUAAAUUAUUCGAUAACAUAAUUAAUAAUGUGUAAAUUAGAGCAGGUUCCCAUUGCUUAGACAUACAUCCAGCAGCAGAAGAUGAUCCAGAGUGGUUAGUAAUGCAGCGAAAGAUUGAAGUGGACAUGGUUCAUGAUUGGAUCCUUAAAUACUCUGCAGAUUUGCUUCAAAAUCAGAGCAUAAGAUUAAAUUGGGACUGCAAAAUUAGUUUUUUCUUUUUCUUCCUCUCGUCUAUCUUUCUAAUAUUUAUGGAGCAAAGAUAAAUAAUAGAGCACCUAGCUAGUUUAAGAGUUCAUUUUCAUUAUUCUUAAUCUGGGUUGUCUAAAUGUGUAGAACAAGUGUGCAGUAUUACUUAAUGUAAAGCACAUAUAAAGGGCUCAAUCUUUAUGUAAUAAUCAUAUGGUGAAUAUCAAUUCAUGUACAAUCACAUUGAAUUAACCAUUUUCUCCCUUUGAUUUAGGAGUUACUGUAUAGGUCGUUGAAGCCGGUGACAGUAAAAGAAUUUGCUCUCCAUGUACAUGUAUCUCUCAUUCUCAACCUGUUCCUAUGCUUCUACAUAAUAGCUUCUUUUGUUAAUUAUUUGACAAUCUCAUGCAAUUCCAAACAUGACUUAGAAUCAGUUUGAGAUUCCGGUGGCUAUUGAAAUAAACUACUUCUAUUAUGCGGAUAAAAUAAGCUAAUGAUUAUAAAAGUAGCUCGCUCAGUGUUUGGUAAAUUCAAUUACGAAAGAACUAUUUUAUUAUAUAAUCACUAAAAUAAUUAUAAGUUUAAAUUGUCUUUUAUUUAUAUAUUAGGAUUUAUAAAAAAAAGGUAAUAUACAAUUAUUCUUUUCUUAGUUAUAAAGAAACUUUAAAAAAUGCAUUUUAUUUAAUAAGUUGCUUCUAAAAAUAAUCCCAUACUUGUUUUAAAAGCUAUUGUCAAAAUAGAGAAAAUAUAAAUUAACUUUUAACAAAUUUACCAAACAUUAUUUUUAUCAAAACUUAUAAAAUAAAUUGUUUAUAGUAUUUCAACUGUAAUCCCAAAUACGGCAUUAGUCUUUGUUCAAAAUAAGGUUAGACAUUGAAUAUGUGUACACGUAUAAACGAAAAUAUCUAGACUGAAGAAACAUCUCGACUUAAAUAAGUCUGCUUCAUUCUUUUUUUUCCACAGCAUAUGUCAAGACGUAAGUUCCAAAUCAUUGCUGACUAGGGGAAGAAGUCUUCAAAGUCAAGGUGAUUAGAUUAGCAGGUCACGAAAUUACGUAUGGGAGGGGUUCCCUGCCCUCAACUUAAAAAGAUGCCUUAAAAUUAAAUAUUAAAUAAUAUGGCAUUUGUUAAAUUUAAAAAAUAUAAAAAAAAUUAAAAAGAAAACCUUUUUUUAAGUGCCCAGAGGUUUGAACGGCAACUAUAGGAUUGUUUCACGAUGAACUUCAAAUGUGCAAGACUAAGGCAGGCCUAUCACGAUUUGGGCCAACUUUGGUAUACUCAGGAAGGGGCACGGAAGAGGGAGCAUUUUGGUUUAUAUUUUACUCAUACACACAUGAGUAAUUAUAUACAAACCUUUCAUGCCUUCACUACCUUUUUCAUGUGGGACAAAUGUAUUUUCCUUUAAUUUUCCAAUUAUAUACAAACCUUUCAUGCCUUCACUACCUUUUUCAUGUGGGACAAAUGUAUUUUCCUUUAAUUUUCCAAUUCCAUGAAUUUACUUUCAGUUACCAUUUCUCAUUUAUCCAAGGAUCAUUUUGAUCAUAUAGAUAAAACCAUUUUGAAGUAUUUACAGAGAAAUAUUUGAAACAAUUUUAACUUUUCACUUACACCACAUAGGUCUCACUCAAAAUCACGCCUCAAAUAGCCACUUGUGCUAUAUUUCCAACACCUUCUGUCUCUUUUCCUUAUUGAUCGCAUGCAAAAAAAUUGAGUGCAAUGAAAUUUUUUAUAUUCUUUCGUCUAUGAUGUUUUUGUGUAAAAAAUAAUAAAAUUCAAAUGGAUGUUAAGUAGCCCAUGAAUUUCCAUAGUUUGUAUGUUACAAAAGGAGCUUUGUAACUAUUUUAAAAAAUAAACAGAUUAUUUUGAUUAUUUUGUCAAAUCACAGGAGUUUCUACAUGUUUUUUUAUACAAAUUAAAUUCACACAAAGAUAUGAUUAGUCUUGUUUAUUUUCCUAUUUGAGUCAUAAUUUACAACAAGAACUCUUUGAGCUUUUUAUUUAUUUUAUUAUUUUGGGUGAUAUUUAGUAUCUUAAUAAUGCUAUUAACUAUUUCUAAUAUUUUCCAUAUUAUCUUAUAUUUCUGCAAUGUUAUUCAAAUAGAUUUAUAAGCUAAAGCCAAUAAGCCAAUUGGAUAGUACUAUUGAGACCGUCAAAUAAACAACAUGUCGCAAUGAAUGAGUCUUUCGUCUAACAAUACUUAUUUUAUGUACAUCUCUAAAUUUUAUUUAUGAGAAUACAUAUUUAUAAAUGAUUAAAAAUAAUUUUCUUCUUCAUCUUAUUUAUUUAUUAUUUUUUUUUUUUAGGGAGGGGGAGUGCCAUCCAGACAUACAGUGAAAUGGUCUCACCAAUUGGAAUUGGCAAAAACGACACAAUGUUUCAAACAUACUCAUUUAAUCUGACAGAAUAUAUGAAUUCAUGCAAUAAGUCUUAUGGAGUGGUUCCCAGACCACAUUAGAUUACAACAUAUUACGGCGGUCAUGUAAGUAUUGAUUAAUCCCCAAAUUAAUUCUUUUAAUAAUUUAAUUUUUCUCAUUUUCUUUUUUAAUUAUAAAGUUUACCUCAAUUGUUGUUUGAUUUCUAUUUCUUUUUAAUUUGCAAGAUAUAAGAGUGGUUUUAAAGAGAUUUGGUAGCAACAUUAUUUUACCUAAUGGCCUUCGUGAUAUGAUCCCUAUAGCAGCGAGGGGUAAUUAAGCUUAAAAAUUUUAUACUCUUUUCUAUCGAAGUUACCCGUUUAAUUAUAUGCCUUAUUCUUUUUCUUCUCUUUUUUUUUGGUGGGGGGGGGGGGGGGGAGAUUAUAGGGUUUUGGAAGAUAUCAGACAAUAUAAUAGCAGCGACAACAAGAAACAGUAUGUAAAUUUUUCUAUAAAAUAAAAAAUAAGUGUUCAAUUAUUAACUAAAUUAAAUUAUUCGAUAACAUAAUUAAUAGUGUGUAAAGUGGAGCAGGUUCCCAUUGCUUAGACAUACAACCAGCAAUAGAAGACGACCCAUAAUGGUUAGCAGUGCACAGUGCAGCGAAAGAUUGAAGUGGACAUGCUUCAUGGUUGGAUCCUCAAAUAUUUUGCAGAUUUGCUUCAAAAUCAGAGCAUAAGAUUAAUUUGUGACUACAAAAUUAGUUUUUUUCUUUUUCUUCAUCUCCUCUAUCUUUCUAAUAUUUAUGGAGCAAAGAUAAAUAAUAAUAGUGCACCUAGCUAGUUUGGAUUUGGUUGUAAUUUUCAUAAUCCUUACUCUGAGUUGUCUAAAUGUGUAGAACAGGUGUGCAGUAUUAGUUAAUGUAAAACACUUAAGGCUCAAUCUUUAUGUAAUAAUCAUAUGGUGAAUAUCAAUUCAUAUUCAAUCAGAUGAAUUAACUAUUUCCUCCCUUCGAUUUAAGAGUUACUGUAUAGGUCCUUGAAGCCGGAGGUAGUCAAAGAUUUGCCCUCCACACACACACACACAUAUAAAAAUAUUCAAAUUCAGAAUUUUAAAAUGCGGGAACGUUUGGGAAAACGCAUAAACUGUGCAGUUUAAGUGCUUUAAGUAUUAGACCUUUAAAACCCCGCAGUUUUAAAGUUUUUCCUAAUGUUUCCCACACUUUAAGAUCCUGUACCAAAAAACUACUAUAUAUAUAUAUAUAUUAGGUGUUUAAGCUUGUAUGCUCCGUUUAUUAGUAGCCAAGCUUGCGAGUAUAUUGCUUCUGGUGAACCUCUUCCUAUUCUUCUCCUUAAUAGCUAUUUCUCUUAAUUAUUUGACAAUCUAAUGCAAUCCCAAACGUGACUUAGCAUCAAGUUUAGGAUGGCGGUUGCUGAUAAAAUAAGUUAUUUCUAUUGUGAGGACGAAAUAAGUUGAUGAUUAAAAAAGUAUCUUGUUCAUGUUUAGUAAAUUUGAUUAUGAAUGUGCUGUAUUAUUUAAUGACUAAAAUAAACAUGAGUUUAAAUUGUCUUUUAUUUAUAUAUUAGAGCUUAUAGAAAAGUAAGAUAUAAUUAUUCUUUUCUUAAAAUAUUAAGGUUAUAAUAUGAACAUUUAAAAAGAUAUAGCAACUUAUUUAAUAAGUUGCUUAUAAAAAUAAUCUCUAUUCUGUUUUUAAAAGUUACAGUCAAAAUAGAGAAAAUUAUAAAAAAAAAACAACUUUUAACAAAGCCAUCAAACUUCAUUUUUAUCUAAACUUAUAAAAUAAGCUGCUUAUAGCAUUUCAAUCACAAUCCUGGGGCAUUAAUCUUUGUGUAGAAUCAGAUUAGACAUUGAAUAUUUCUAAUUUUCUACACAUAAAUUAAAAUAUGUAGACUAGAAAAACACCUUGACUUCGUAAGUCCACUUCAUUCUUUAAUUUCCGCAGCAUAUGUCAAGACGUUAUUUUCAAAUAAUUGCCGACUAGGAGAAGUCUUAUAGUCAAGGUGAUUACAUGAGCGUGUUAUGGAAUCGUAGUGGUUCCCUGCCCUCAACUAAAAAAGUGGCCUUCAAAAUUAAAUAUUAAAUAAUGUGGCAUUAUUAAUGUUAUAUAUAUAUAUAUAUAUAUGUGUGUGUGUGUGUGUCUGUGAGUGUGUAUAUAUGUAUAUAUAAUAUUAUAUAUAUAUAUAUAUUAGGUUUCAUGUUUUGCACGGGUUCGAACGGCAGUUGUAAUAUUAAAUAAUAUGGCAUUAUUAAAGUUAAAAAAAUAUCUAAAGUUAAUCAUAAAAAAAUAUUUUUUUUAUAAAAAAAUAAAUAAAGAUUAAAAUGGAUGUUAGGUAGCCCGUGAGUUUCCAUAGUUUGUAUGUUACAAAAGGACUUUUGUAACUAUUUUAAAAAAAUAAAAAAAUUAUUUUGAUUAUUCUGUCAAGUCACAGUAGUGUAGACAUCCUUUCUCUAUAGUUUAUUUAUAAUAUUAAAUUUAUACAAAGAUAUGGUUAGUCUCGUUUAUUUUCCUAUGAGAGUCAUAAUUUACACCAACAAUUCUUUGAGCUUCUUUUUCUUUUUAUUAUUUUGGGUAAUAUUUAAUAUCUUAAUAAUGCUAUUAAUUAUUUCUAAUAUUUUUCAUAUUAUCUCAUGUUUCUGCAAUGUUGUUCAAAUAGAUCUACACCACACAAAUACAAGCCAAUAAGGUUAUAUCUCCAUGAUUGAAUCCAUCUAGAGAAGACCUUGACUCACACUCUUUGAAAACGCGUAUUGGAAAUUAACACCGGGAGGUUGAAAAACAAUUAAUUCUUAUAUAAACGCUUUGCUGAGAAUCAAAUGUAGCUCAAUCAACCGAAAACCAUUAUAAACAUGGCAGCAGCAUCCACUGUUUCGAGAUUGGUGGUCAUUAUAAUUUUAAUUAAUGUUGGUGCUAUAAGUGAUACGACAAUAUUUGCAAUAGCAUCAGCUGCUGGAUUAUUGUCGUCACCCAAACUGUUAGAAAGGGAAGCUUUACUUGGUACAGGCUGGUGGGUCAACAAUUGCGCGACGGGCAACUACACGUCCUAUCAUUGUAAGUGGACUGGCAUCAGUUGCAAUUCAGCGGGAAGCGUAAUCGGGGUCAGCUUACUCUGGUAUGAAAAUGAUAACAUCACAGGAGAGCUCGGUCGUUUCAAAUUCUCUUGCUUUCCGAACCUCAGAAGUUUCAAAAUUCAUUCAAAUUAUUCUAUCUCUGGAAGCAUUCCAUCCGAAAUUACUGCCCUUUCAAUGCUCCAAACUCUUGAACUGCCCUCCAACAAUCUUACCGGUAAGCUACCAAACUUCACUAUAUAUAUAUAUAUAUAUAUAUAUAUGUAUGUAUGUAUGAAGUCGUGCUCAUGCUUGAAGCAGGAGUCUGUUUUUACAACACUGAAGAAGUUUUUUUUAUGAGGAUUUCUUUAUAAAUUUUAUUUAUAUGAGGAUAGUGAAUACUGAUCUCGUUUUUCAUAAAUCACAUGCGCAACAGGAAUUGUCCCUUCAGAGAUGGGGAGAUUGAGGAAUCUUGUCCACCUGGAUCUAUCUGAUAAUUACAUCUGGGGAUAUAUCCCUCCAACUCUUGGUCGUCUAAGCAAAUUGGAAAAUUUCAACCUGUCUUCUAAUGCCCUUGAUGGUAAUAUCCCUCCAACUCUUGGUCGUGUAAGCAAAUUGAAAAUUUUGAACUUGUCUUCUAACUCUCUUGUUGGUAAUAUCCCCCCCACUCUAGGUCAUCUAACCCAUCUAACUACUUUGGCUAUUGCUUGGAACCAAAUUAAUGGUUCCAUCCCAUUAAGAAUCGGGAGUUUGAAGGCUCUUCAAGUUCUUGACUUGUCCAUAAAUGAAAUUGAAGGUUCAAUGCCUUCAACACUUGGCCAUUUAAAGAGAUUGAGAAGUUUAGACUUGUCCGGUAACAAUCUUGUUGGUCCAAUCCCUUCGUCUGUGGGUCAUUUGACUCAGCUAACAACUUUUGAUAUGCACUCAAACCGAAUCAAUGGUUCCAUCCCAUUAGAAAUCGGGAAUUUGAACUUUCUUCAAGUUCUUGAUCUGUCCAACAACAAACUUGAAGGUCCAAUUCCUUCGACCAUAGCUAGUUUAGUCAACUUAACAUCUUUGUUCCUGUGCAAUAACAAUCUAACUGGAUCUAUUCCUUCAACACUUGGUCAUUUAAACAGGUUGACAAGUUUAGACUUGUCCAGUAACAAUCUUGUUGGUCCAAUCCCUUCGUCUGUGGGUCAUUUGACUCAGCUAACAACUUUUGAUAUGCACUCAAACCGAAUCAAUGGCUCCAUCCCAUUAGAAAUCGGGAAUUUGAACUUUCUUCAAGUUCUUGAUCUGUCCGACAACAAACUUGAAGGUCCAAUUCCUUCGACCAUAGCUAGUUUAGUCAACUUAACAUCUUUGUUCCUGUGCAAUAACAAUCUAACUGGAUCUAUUCCUUCAACACUUGGUCGUUUAAACAGGUUGACAAGUUUAGACUUGUCCAGUAACAAUCUUGUUGGUCCAAUCCCUUCGUCUGUGGGUCAUUUGACUCAGCUAACAACUUUUGAUAUGCACUCAAACCGAAUCAAUGGUUCCAUCCCAUUAGAAAUCGGGAAUUUGAAACAUGUUGAAGAUGUGUACCUGUUCAACAACAAACUUGAUGGUCCAAUUCCUCCACAACUCAUGAAUUGCUCAAAGCUGAGAGCAUUAUCAUUGAGUAAAAACUUGUUAAGUGGAAGCAUCCCAUCAGAGAUUGGCAAACUUCAAGAACUAUAUUAUCUUAAUCUGAGCCAUAACUCCAUUAAUGGUAAAAUACCUUCCCAGCUUGGAGCAAUUCCAAACAUAGAUACCGUGGACCUUUGCAUGAAUAACCUCUCCGGUAGUAUCCCUGAAUCUGUCACAAAUGUGCCACACUUAGAUGUGUCAGGCAACAAUUUGGAGGUAGAAAUCCCAAGUACUUCGGCAAAAGCGCCACCACCACAUCACAAAGGCAAUGACAAAAAGAUUGCCACUCGCUUGGUUGCAAUUAUUCUCCCUAUGGUCGCAUUGCUUGCCUUGAUAUUUGGAAUCUUGUUUGUCCGUAGACGAAGGGAUAAGAGAGUUGAACCAGCUGAGACAGGAGAAAUCACCAAGUGCGCUGAUGAGUUUGCAAUUUGGAAUUACGACGGUAGAAUUACAUUUCAAGACAUGAUUGAAGCUACUGAGGAUUUCCAUAUCAAAUACUGCAUUGGAACCGGAGGCUACGGCAGCGUUUACAGAGCACGACUACCCAGUGGAAAAGUAGUUGCUUUGAAGAAGCUUCACGGUUCAGAAACUGAGGAGUUAGCUUCCCUCGAGAGUUUCCGGAAUGAGGCUCGUCUACUGUCCCAAAUACGGCAUCGAAAUAUCGUAAAGCUUUACGGGUUUUGUUUGCACAGGAAAUGUAUGUUCUUAAUCUAUGAGUACAUGGAAAUGGGAAGCUUGUUCUGUGUUCUGCGCACAGAUGAGGAAGCUGUGGGGUUGGAUUGGGCUAAAAGGGUGAACGUUGUGAAGGGCAUGGCUCAUGCUUUGUCAUACUUGCAUCAUGACUGCACACCACCAAUUGUUCACCGGGACAUAUCAAGCAACAACAUUCUACUCAACUCAGAAUUAGAAGCAUUUGUUGCCGACUUUGGCGUUGCUAGAUUGUUAAAUUUUGACUCAUCCAAUCGAACUCUAUUGGCUGGCACUCAUGGAUAUAUUGCUCCAGGUAAUCUUCUAGCCAUUCUUCUUCUGCUUCUUUAAUUAUUCUUUUAAUUAAUUUUUAUAUACACUCUGUUAAGUAAUUUUUAAGCAGUUUUAUUUAGUUAGCUAUUUAGGUUCAAAUUUUGGAAUAGGUAAGGAGCUGAAAGAUAAAUUUAAACUUUGCCUACCCGUUUAACUUUUUUUUAAAAAAAAAAAAAUUACACACAGUUUAAAUAUCAAUUAAAAACAUAUGUUUUUCUGUCAUACCUUGCUGAAGAAGCUCAAAAAUAUAAACAAAUUGCUCUUGUUAUUAUAUAGGAAAUAUCACUAAUAAAGGCUUCUGUUUUCCUAUAGAACUGGCCUACACCAUGAUUGUGACGGAGAAAUCUGAUGUUUAUAGCUUCGGAGUGGUGGCACUAGAAGUACUAAUGGGAAAGCAUCCUGGAGAGCUCCUCUCAUCGUUAUCUUCGUCAUUAGAUAAAAAUAUUAAGCUGAUUGAUUUGCUGGACCCACGCCUCUCACCUCCGGUGGAUCAAAAGAUUAGGCAGGAUAUCAUUCUUGUUUCAACAGUAGCAUUUUCAUGCUUGCGUUCUCAACCAAAGUCUCGACCUACAAUGCAACUCGUGUCCAACGAAUUUAUCGCUCGCAAUAAGACACCAAUGCAAAAACCUUUUCAUGAAAUUUCAAUUUUGGAGCUUAGAAACCAAGAAAUGUAUUUGGUUGAUUAAUGUGAUAUCUAAUUAUGGAUACGUAUAUUUAACUGUUCAUGUAUGUGAUGGGAUUGCUUCUAAUCCUAAUAGAAUUUUCCAAUAAAGGUGACUGUUAAUUAGUUCUGAAAUUAUUAUUAGGUAGUAGCAAUGUAGCGUAUAUUAUGUGUUCGACGAAUUGUCUCCCUUAGUAUUAUUAAUUCCAUUUACACGUUCACUACCUAUAUAUAUUGAAUUGCAAUUAAACAUAUGUGCAAACUACGACAUUAAUGUCUCGGGUAAAGCUAGUACUUUCGCAGUUGGUUAGUCUAAUUGUCACCCCCUCAAUGAGCUGAAUUAAACAGGAUUUUAAGGAAUUUAAAGGUUGUAUCUCUACGAGUUAAAAGGGUAAAUUGUCAUUUUAAUUAUUAGUUUAUUUUACAAAUUAUAUAUAUAUAAACUUCAUGCAGAAUGAGGUUCUUGAUGUCGCGUUAUUUAAUAUAUUAGUUUUUUCACUCCUUUGUAAAUAUUCACACAAACAUAUACAAUAAUUUAGCUGAUCCGAUCAAACAUCCUUAGUUUUUUCACUCCUUUGUAAAUAUUCACACAUAUACAAUAAUUUAGCUGAUCCGAUCAAACAUCCUGGACCCACCGCUGAUGUUAGGAAGCUUCUGCAUAAGCUGUGGUUAGUGUCUUAGUGAUAUCCCGCCAACAACCUGCCAGCAAAAGAUAAACUAAUGUCAGGUCAUGAUCAAGAAAAAUUUGCUAAUGUCAGCAGAAGAAGUCAUAACCAUGCAUAUAUGAAGCACUUUCAAAGAGUAGAUCUAACAGUGUCUGGUUUUCAUUUUUGGAGUUUUUUACCAAUGACUGGAGAGUAGAGAACAACACAUGAUCCCCGUUACAGUAUUGUUGCUUGAAUUUAUAGGCUUCAUCAAUCAGUACCUUCAAAUCCAUAUAUAAUGAGAUGGAAGAAUGAAUUUAAAUUUAUUAAUGUCAUUUCCGAGUUUUAAAAUGAUAAAGCAAGUUGCAACUGAUUCAUUGAAAUUUAAAACAUUCAUAAUGAAGUGCAAGAGCAAAAUAAAAGUUAGGAGCUUUACCUUCAGCAUAACAAGGAGUCUGCUGGAUCAGGCCCACUUUAUCUGCCGCUAUAGACCACCACCUCUUCAUCUUCAGCCUUCUCAAUAACACGGUCUCUUGUUUCUUCAUUUGAUUCUUCGACCACUACAGCUUCACCUUCAACAUUCUCAGUAGGCUCUGAUG
This 71402-nucleotide long non-coding RNA is filed under the name Citrus maxima (pomelo). Its description in RNAcentral is "long non-coding RNA (CMAX_LNC000995)". Lineage: Eukaryota; Viridiplantae; Streptophyta; Magnoliopsida; Sapindales; Rutaceae. The record is from RNAcentral.